AACCGUAAAGUCGAAGACGAGUAGUGAUAGGCUUCCGGCACAAGGGGCACAAAGUUAACGUCGCACCACAAUCCUUGCAUGUCUGCAAAUUUGCAUACACUCCAACGCUAAUUAAAAGACAAGCCUCAAUGUUGAAAGAUGAGAUGCCUAAAUUCAUAAUACCCUUAGGUGGCAUUCACUUUUCAUUAUUGAUAAGAUACAAGAUUGAGUAUGUUUAUCAUUAUUUGGAUUUCUCCAGUCAUAUCCUUUCAAUGGAUAUAAAUCAAGCAAAAUUAGCUCUAUUGAUAGAAAUUAUCCGGGGUUGCGGGAUAUCCUAAGUUUCAAUCUAUCUUAGUAGACACUGGAUUAGCCUAUACUAUUUUUAUCUGUCAAGAUUAAUCCUUAAAAGUAAACACCAUCUUAAACAAAUGAAUUAUUUGUAGAAGUAAAUUCAUCUUGCAUAACUCGGGUAUAGAUUCUUACCAUAUGUCCACACCCGAAAGCCAAGUCCUUCCGAUUGGUUAAGCAGAUCGGGCAUGCCUUGAAACAAGAGGAAGAUGUGUUUGCAUACGGAACAGAAAAAUACAGCAACGUAUAUAAUAAGAGGCGACAAACGGGCAUGGAAGUUCACUUACUUGUUCAGCCGGUGGUCCUGCAGAUUCAGCUGGUUCUAGGCUGCUCAUAUGUGCAAUUGAUCUUGUAGCUUUCUCCUUGUCGUGGUCGAUUAUUGCACGAGGAGGAGGAAGAGGUUGUUUCCUAGGACCUGAACCGUGACUUCUGAAUAAAACAAAAAACAAGAGAACAUUGUUUGAAUUAUUAAGAUGGGAGAGAUACAUGAUCAUGAAAGAGGGGCGAGGGACUCCAACGAGACAUUUGACAUAAAUUCGAAGAGAUGCAUACAAAAGGGCGGAGCUCCAGUUGAGGAGUACUGAGAAUUAUUGGCCUUACUCGGUAUAUCGUAGUGUCAGUGUUGCUUUGAACUGAAGUGGAAUUUCCAUCAACGCAGCAAGGGCAAAAGCUGAUUCCUUUUUAUCUGUCUCCGUGUGCUCGGAUAUAAUCUUUGUGAAGUUGACAAACUGUGACACAAGAGGGAUGUCAACUUCAAACUCACAUUUCGUGUCAAGGAUAAACCAAACUAUAUAUUUGCAGAAAUUAUGCAGUAACCUGAAAAUUGUCAAAUGCUCGUUGAGGAAGGUUAUCAUCGAAUUCUUUCAUCUCAUCCCACGGUCCAUCUCCCACACCGACAAGAAUGAUGGAGAGGGGAUAUUCGCUGCAUUUCAUGUGCCAUAGAUUACUUAAGGCAAGAAUACAGCAUAAUCUAAUUUGUUAGGAAUCGAAUCAUGCAUAACUUAAAUUAAUAAAUCUGUUUACCUUGCAGCAACUACAGAAUUGAUAGUUGCUUGUUCUUGAGGACUUAACUUUCCAGGUAACGUGUCGGGACUUCUAGUUACCUGAUUAUAGAAAAAGUUUAAUGAGUUAUUCAGCAUGAGAAAUUAAAUGAUAAAUUCAAUGGAUGAAAGAAACAUGACCUGUCCAUCUGCGAUGAUAACAAGGACAUGAUACUGAAAAUUGCUCUUUUCCACAAUAUGAACCGCUGCAUCAAUUACUGGAGCAAACGAUGUUGGGCCUGUAUGUCAAGCAGCCACGGGAAAGCAUUUCUAGUAAACGAUGUGUGGUAAGAGAAUAUCUAUCUUUUACUGAUAUGAAAUGGAGUUCUUGAAAUGCUGUACAAACCAAUCUAGAAAAUAUAAAUCGAGUUCCUAAAUAGAUUUUAACAGGGUAUCAUUUAUAUUCAUUUUCAUUCAACAUUAAGCUACUAAAAUGGUAUCUUUUGUGAACACCUAUCACUCUUUGCUGUUGUUUGAUAAACAAGAGCACUCCAUUUUUCGGUCUCCAACUGGAAUUCAAGACACGAACAACUCGAUUAACACUUUCGAAGAUGGUUGUAGUUAAUAAGGAAUUUUACAAGAUUUUCGUUCAAAGAGGGUCAUCUCUCAGAGAAGGUACCAUGAAAACUGCAGAUAAUUAGCUCAAAUCAAAGUGAAAUGAUUACCUGAUAGAUUCAGAAGUGGAACAAUUUCUCUAUAUCGUGCAAGUGCUUCCUCAAAUCCAUUGCAAGGUCGAUGAUCGGGGUAAAAGCUGAAUACAUGCUGAUCAUGUGUCGUUGCUGAAAAGAAAAUAUAAUCCAUCUAGUUACUGUCAUGGAUAAUUAUUGAUCCCCCUCCUCCAAAAAAAGGAAAAUAUAACUCACCAUCACCAAAUCCAAAGCAAGGUAUUAAAUUGUCUUCGUCAAAGGGAGAUAAAGUCCUUCCAAUAAUGGAAAUGGCUUGCUCGUAUGGGUUAGGAGUGCUACCGAUAGCAUGGAGGCUUUUUCUGUGGAAAGAAUACUUUCCUACAACCUUAACUAAGUAAGAUGGUCCUUGAUCUCCACUUAUAAGACACUGCAUAUAUAAGAAACGACUUUUAUCUAAAGGGAUCACCUGUCCAUUCGUUGCUCUUGGUAAAAUCGAUUCCAAGGAUUAAAUUUGAUGACUCCAGGCCAGCUUCUCUUAAUGCAUUGAUAACCUGUAAACAUGAUUAUAUACCGUCUUAGUCACCCGAAACCAAUGUCUAAAGAAGGCAUCUUUUUCGGACAAAUCAUAAUGCAGGAUAAGUAAAACUAUGUUGGGUACUUGAUCUUCAUAACUCAGAGCUGAUGAAGUUUGAAAUGGAAUAAAAAUACGAAAGAUAUAACAACAGACUACGAAGCAAAGAUUUAGUCGCCACGGCAAUGCAGUGACUGUUUGAAAAUCACAAAAAUCACAAUACUACCAUGAGGAAAACCAAUACCUCAUCCAAAGAGUUGAAGUUAUCUGCUAUGUAUGCAGAGUGCUGUUUCUUCCUAUAGCUAGUACUCGUCGAAGUUGUUGUAUCUGAUGGGGUAUGAUGCUGAUAACUAGAUGGUGUCGAACUGGUGGCAUGCUCUGGAGAUUGAGGUAUGUAGCCAGUAUCAACCGUGUAUCCUCCGUGUACAGCCGGUUGACGUGAAAAAUUUUCAUAUUCAUCAUCAGGUGAUGAUUCGCUGUUUCCCAUGACGUGGCAGUUUAUGUCGACUCAAUAACAGAAAACUCUGCAUAGAUAGAGAAAGAAGCAGUGUGAGAUAAUGAAACUGUAGAUGAUGUUGUUCUUGAUUCUCAAUCCAACAUUACAUAGAAUUCGAUAACAAGAAAGCGCUGCCAAAAUGCAAGAUUGAGUCCUAUAUAUCACUCAUUUCCAAUCAAAGAAGAUUCAUUUCUGUCACAGCUUGGAAUUGAAAACUUUGUGAGAUUUAGGCCCUUUUUUCCAGCUCCCAAAAGACUAACAACAUGAAAUUUUGGAUGUACAUGACAACGAAGAUUCAUCAUAUCACAAUUUCUUCCAAAAAUAUUGACCCCAUCUCAUUUUCAACAGAGUUGAUGCAUUUAAUGUAUUUGAAAACUAUCCUCAUUCACUCACUUAAAAUAAAAGAUCAUUAAUUCCCAGAUCAAUAAAUAGAGAUAUAUUACUUUAUUAUCAUUUAAUAAAGAAAGAGGGCUUCUUUGACCACCGAAUUCUGACCAAACUCUGUCAUUCUAACUGUGUCUUCUAAAAAAUUUUGCUUUACCAAGAAACUGCAGAAUUCUAUUAAUCAAGGAUGAACUACUCUUUGAACUAUAAGUAAGCAAUGAUUGGAGUCGAAGUUACUUAUUUCUGCAGUUAUCCUAAACAGAACUUGGUAAUGAAGAAGCAGAAAAUGUUCGGUUUACAGAUCAGUUGCCGCAAAUGGAUAAAUCAUAUUGGGCAACUCAACAAUACGAAUUGUGACUACAUCCAAGAAUCCCAAUCCAUAUAAGUCAACUAGGAAAUCAUAGCAUAUUCAUGACUUUGAUCACGAGAGAUUUAAUCCCUUUUAAUUGAAAACUAUUAGAAAUACAUAUAUGCAGGUGAGAGAGAGAGAGAGAGAGAGAGAGGAACCUGCAGUUUGUGUUCCUUAAUUGGUGCAGCAAAAGAAGCAAGAAUAGGAAAGUGGGGAAGAUGGCUAAACUUGCAAGCUUCGGCAACAGCUGUAGUAGUUGGUGUAUAGCAUUAGCGCAUGCUAUUUUACUGGAUAUUUAUAUGGUCUGAAAAGUGCGGCUGAAUGUAAGAAAUGUCAGAAGUCAGCCGCUCACAACAUUUUUUUAAGGAAAGCUGCUGUACCGUAUAAUCGGGUUGACCCGUACCCAAAAUAGUAUUAUUUAUAUAGAUUUGAUCAGGAUAUGGAUUCAAAUUAGAAUGCGGGUCAAAGUUUAAGUGAAUGUAUAAUUUGAAUGUACCGCAAAGACUUUACCAUUUUUCAUAUAGCAAAGACUUUAUAAAGUCGGUUCUAUAUUUUUUUUUGUAAAUCAACAAUAUUAAAUAAAAAAAUUUAAAAGUCGCGUCAAAGGGAUUCAAACCUAAGAUCUCAAAGAUUCUUUUUUUUUGAUAAAUUAACAAUAUUAAAUUUUUUUAUUUUAUUUUUAAAAAUUAAAUUAAAUUUAAAUUUAAAAUUUACAAUAAUAUGUAAAAAAUACAUUAAAAAUAAACUAUAAAAUUACAUUAAUUAAAAUAUAUCCUAAAAAUUAAAUUAGAUAUAUCAUCUUCGAUGUUUCACGAUCUCCUUUACACCAUUCGUUUAUGUAUGGCCAACCUCAUUCACGAAGUGUCGGUGUUUAAAAUUUUGUGGUUCAGGACGUCAUACUUCACUUGUUGUAAAACGUUGAGGAGGUUAACGGCCUUUCCAACGUGCAUUUCCACUUGUCUGGGGUCGACGAUGGCUCACCUUGCUUCCCUUUAUCUUUGUUGUUCUUCUUUGCCACCUUUUGGCUUGUAGACCUAGUUGUGAUGCUCGGUUCGGAAGACGUCGUCAUGUACCCCCUUCGGAGGUAUUCUUCGUCCAUUUCAAAGAAUGGACGUCUCCACCGACGGAAGCGAAUCGUUCAGAUUCAAAGAGGAUGCGCCAAACCGAGAAGUAUUUGUAGUAUUUAAAUGGGUAAGGGUGAGCUAAAUGGAGCAGAAAAAGCGGAUCGUCCUGAUCUCAUACAUUGGAGUCUCAUAUUGGUCUUGUACAAGACCACCUUUAGUUUAUAUGAGAAUUUGUGAAACCGAUAAAAAAUGUUUGGAGUAUUGAUAUUGGAGAAAAUGUAUUGUUACAAGAGUAUAGUUAAGUAGAUUGUGGACAAAUAGUGUAAGUUACAAGAGUAAAAUUGUGAAAAUUAUAUAUGGGGUAUUGUUCAAAAAUAAAAUAUGCAUAAAUUUGAUGGACGUACCAAAAAGAAAGAGUAUGUAUAAAUAUGGAGGACGCAGAGAGUAACAAAUUUCAAUCGUACCCAAAUAAACCUCAAAAUAAAUAAUAAAUAAAUAAAAUAAAAAUAAAGAAAGAAACUAAAAUGCAUAAAGCAGAAAAUGAUGGCAGGGCAAUCAACGUCUUACUAAAUUUUUGGCAACAUUAUGGAAACCAACGGCGACUCCAAACACCCAAACCAUAAUACGACGAAAACAAACACACAUCAUUACUCACUCCUGCUGUGGCGGCAGCUCCCUCUUUCAGGUACUUCUCUCUCUCUCUCUCUCCAAUUUGUAUAAUUCAGAUUCUCCAUUAAGAUCUCACUAUACAUGUCACUGGUUUUUUCUCUUCCAAGAAAAGGAAACGGCUGUUUGUAUAAUUUCAAGUGGGAAUGACGUUUAUACUGCAUAAGAUCCGAUUAACCAAAUGGGAUUUCCUUGCAAAUAGAAAUCUUAAAUUCUCCGUCACUCUUCACACCGAAUUGGAAUGAAAGACUCGGUUUUUAGGAUUGUGCAUGCGCUGCACAUGCAAGAGUUGAUCAUCACAAUUCACAACCAACACUACAGUUUUCAGCAGUUUUUGAACGUGCAUGCAAUUUUGAUACUCUGCGUUUGCGUUGAAAUGCCUAGUUUUGUGGGUUUUAUGCUUAUCUCUCAAGGUUUUUUCCCCAAAUAGUUUAUUAUAAUUUCUGUGUGGUUCGUCUUUAAUUCUGAGUCCUGUAUCCCUUUUUUAUUUCCUCGAGUCUUUUUUACCCUGAUGAAUUUGAAAAUUUCUGAAUUUUCCACUGAAUUGAAUUUGUGAGAAUUUGGAAUAGUGCAUUGAAUUCAGCUUUUGGCAUCCCACUUUUUAUAUUGUCCUUUUGUGUGUGUGUUUAGUAAGAGGAUAGAGAGAUUAAAUUUCUCUUUCCAAUUUUCAUCUCUCUCUUGUGCAAUUAAUUCUUUUUCUAAGUUGUAAGUUCUUUUUCAAGAAACUCUCUGUAUCAUAUCUGUAAAAAGGAUUUUGGGAGUGAUGAGGUUGAGACCAUGUUGAUUAUAAUUUCUUGUAUAGUAUUUCACUUACAUAUGAAUCAUAUCUGUAAUGGAUAUUGGCAUUCAUGUGGCACACCAAGUCGAACUAUGUCAAUUGCAAUUCUUUUAUAUGAUCUUAUCAUUGCUUUUACUUGGCAAGAACUAUUGAUUCAGCUUAUAUGUCCACAAAUUUUCUUCUGAAUGAGGCAAUAACAAAUACAUCUUGCAUUUUUUGGCACGUGGUUGCCGUUCUAUGUAGAGGUAAUUGAUAAUGGAAUAUGCUUAAUUGGUAUUGAAUGAUUUUAUUAGUGAUGUGAACUUACAUGUCAAACUUUUACUACUAGCCCUUGUGAUUUCAUCUCUGUCAUAGCUCAGUUUUACUUUAGCUUUCUUCAUCUCCUUUCAGUAAAAUCCUUUUUUGAGUUGCAUAGCUAUUUUAUUUCAUGUGCAGGGUAAUGGAUACUGGAGGUAACUCUUUACCGUCUGGAGCAGACGGGUCGAAAAGAAAAGUGUGCUAUUUCUACGACCCUGAGGUUGGAAAUUACUAUUACGGCCAAGGUCAUCCGAUGAAGCCCCAUAGAAUGCGCAUGACUCAUGCUCUUCUCGCACAUUACGGGUUGCUGCAAAACAUGCAUGUCUUGAAGCCCAACCCUGCUCGAGAUAAGGAUCUUUGCAGGUUUCACGCAGAUGAUUACGUCUCUUUCUUGAGAAGAAUCACCCCGGAGACGCAACAAGAUCAGUUGAGGCAGCUGAAGAGAUUCAAUGUUGGGGAGGACUGCCCUGUUUUUGACGGCCUUUAUUCCUUCUGUCAGACCUACGCUGGAGGCUCCAUCGGUGGUGCUGUGAAGUUAAAUCACGGACAUUGUGACAUUGCCAUAAAUUGGGCCGGUGGGCUGCACCACGCCAAAAAAUGCGAGGCUUCUGGUUUCUGCUAUGUCAAUGAUAUAGUGCUGGCCAUUUUGGAACUCCUUAAAACCCAUGAGGUACACAACCUUCUAUAUUCGAACUGUCAUUUUUGGUAAUUGACAUAUAAAAGUUUCUAUCGAUAAUAUAUUAAUGGCAAUGCUUUGCUUAGUGUAGUAUAUGAGAUAAAAGAGACUUGUAAGAGAUCAUGAAUUCCUGUGCUUGGUAAUGGGGUUGAUGCUUUCGAUCAGCUUAUAUUCUCAUAUCCAUGUGGUGUAUGUUCCCAUUGCAGCGUGUCUUAUACGUGGACAUCGACAUUCAUCAUGGUGAUGGAGUUGAAGAGGCUUUCUAUAUAACUGACAGAGUCAUGACUGUUUCCUUCCACAAAUUUGGAGAUUAUUUCCCCGGUACUGGGGACAUACGAGAUAUUGGAUUCGGAAAGGGGAAAUAUUACGCGCUUAAUGUCCCGUUAGACGAUGGAAUCGAUGAUGAAAGCUAUCAAUCCUUAUUUAAGCCAAUUAUUAGUAAGGUAAUGGAGGUUUAUAGGCCUGGAGCAGUGGUCUUACAAUGCGGGGCUGAUUCCCUAUCCGGGGAUAGGUUAGGCUGCUUUAACCUCUCAGUUAAAGGUCAUGCAGAGUGCGUCAGGUUUAUGAGAUCUUUCGAUGUGCCCCUUCUUUUACUCGGUGGAGGUGGUUACACGAUACGCAAUGUUGCUCGUUGCUGGUGUUACGAGGUAAUUAUAUAACAUGCUAUUGUGAUACCUUUACAGCGAAGCAUUUUGAUUGUUAAACAAACUCUUAUCUGUGUAAAACCUAAAUGUAUGAGAAAGAAACAUAUGCAUACUCCAUACUGUAAAAGUUGUAUGCUAAAAGGAAUUUGUCUUUUAGUUAUUGACACCAUUAUUGGGAAACUUGAGUUUGCUUGGGCAGCUGCAAUAUUUUCCCAAUAUACAAGAAAAAUAUACUUUUCUCGACUUGCAAAAAGAGCCGGAAGCAGUUUUCUUCUUCUGACCUUUGUCAGUUGUCAUAAUUGAUUUCUGUAUUUUGAGCAGACAGGAGUGGCGCUUGGGAUUGAGAUCGACGAUAAGAUGCCACAGCACGAAUAUAUAGAGUAUUUUGGCCCAGACUACACUCUUCAUGUUGCUCCGAGUAACAUGGAAAACAAAAACUGUCGGGACAUGCUCGAAGAAAUAAGAGCAGAGCUUCUCAAAAAUCUGUCAAGACUUCAGCAUGCUCCAAGUGUUCAGUUUCAGGAGCGGCCACCCGACAUUGAACUACCUGAGGUAUAUUCUUUACACCCGAUGAUUUGUUCAGUUACAAGGUUUUAUCUCUAUAUCUUAUGUUUUCAGUUUAGUUAUUCUUGUAAUUUUCCUUACACAGCUAUUUGUUUUUACCUUAACUGAGCACGUCAAGUCUUAUUAAGGACGUGUUUACGAUUCCGCCUCUGCAAUAUGUUGACACGACUCCGAGCAGAGCUUAAGCUUGAAGAAACUCAUGACACCAAGACUAUGAAAAUGAUAUUACGGCAAAUAAGUAAUAGAAAUCAUGAAAUGAGGAACUAUAAGAAUAGAAGAACUAUUAUGAUCAUGAAGAAUCAAAUGAAUUGAUGUUGGCUACAAUGAAUUAUGUAAAUUUUCUGCUGCUGCAAAUAGUCAAUUGUUAAUAAAAUGUGUAUAUGUAUGCAAGGAGAAAUGUCAUGUUUGAUUAAGUUAGUUCUCAUAUAGGUUGACGAAGAUGAAGAAAAUAAGGAUGAACGGAAACGUCCUGAUUCGAACGUUAACAUUGAUUAUGAAAGGUAUAGUUGUGUGCUAAAACGACCACAGUGUUUCUGCUUAUCAUGAUUUAUCUUCUAUUUCUCUUGUAUAUACAGAAAUUCUACGCCUAGCAGGGUGAAGAUGGAAUUUGUCGAACCUAUGGCAAACGACAAGGUAUGUGUUCCGUAAGGUCUUAAAUACAAAACAACAAUUUAUCGAAUCUAUGGUGAAAUCUUGAAGCAUAAACUAGAUAUUACAUCAUCUGAAAAUGUAAGAGCUUCUCUGUUUCAUUGUUUAGAACGACGAGGCCGUGGAUGAACUUGCUCGAAAGAUAGAUUCAACACUUGCGCCUACAAGCUCAAAGGUACGCACCAUACUUUCAUUUUCUAAUAUGCAAUUUUCAUGGCUUAGCAAUCAGAGUUGGUGUUGUUCCAUAACAGGGCUCAAUGGCAGCUGCAGAAGUAGAUGGCAUGCAAUAUGUUAAGCUCGAGAAGGAGAACACGAAAACCCUACUCGAUGAGCUUGCCCCGAUGGAUCAGCAUUGACCUGUCAUCGAUUUGAAAAGAAAGAUCAGACAAUGAAAGGCAACUCAGUUGGUAGGCAGUUUAGAUUGCAUGCAUGGGAAGUGGAAAAAUUGUCCUACCGCGUGGGCAGGACAAUAUGCAGGUCGUAGUGAAAGUCCUAAGAUUAUUCUUGAAGUUGUAGCGGAUUAUGAUAUUUGGAUAUGGGUUAUUUUUUAGCUAAUGGUAUAAAUCUUAAAUGGUCUACCCUUGUGCAAACAAUUCACGAGCCUCGUACUCCGAAGACAAGGCAUUUUGCAAUGAAACAAGAAGCAUGUUGAAAAACGUCCAACGUGCAUUUGGAGUUCUUCAGUCACGUUUUGCAAUUGUAGCGGACCAAUACAUUAUUGAAAUAAAGAACUGCUACAUGAUAUAAUGACUACAUGCAUAAUUAUGCAUAACAUGAUAGUUGAUGAUGAACGCAAUCUUAGUGCUCCAAUUGAAGUCACGGUAGAAACGCCACAACUGGAUGUCGAAAUGGUGAUGGAUGAAAGUGCUCGAUUUGAAGCGUCCAUGUCUCGAUAUGACAAAAUAAGGAAUAAAGAUGCUCAUGUCGAACUUCAGAAUGCAUUAAUUGAUCAUUUGUGGGAGUAAUAUACAAAUUUCGAAUCUUGAAUGACAAUCUACUUUCACUUAAUUUAAAUUGAUGUCUAGGCAUAAGUUUUUGUAAUAUAUUAAUUAUGUAAUUUUUUUCAAGUUCUGUAAUUAUCUUUUAUUUAGUAAACAAUUAAUUUAGUAAUUUUUAUUUAUUUAUUAAUACUCGUAUUAUAAUCUAACAAUACCUUAUUCUGUUUAAAAAUAUUAAUUAUAAAGUUAUUAUGAUCUAACGUGGAAUUUUUAAAAAUAUAUAGAUGUGAUUGUAAAAGCAUAAAAGUUAAUAUGUGAAGAAAUAUAUAAAGACUAAAUUUGCGAGUUGGAGUAAAAUAAAAUUACUGUUUGAUGUAACAUAUACUGAAAAAUGGAUUAAUAUAGUUGAAGUAAAACAUCAAAAAAUGUAAAGAAGACACGUGGCUUAAUCUCCUCCCUCUUUGUUCGCGCCUUACUCUAUAAUAAAUAAGCUGCAGCGGUUACAAUAGAAUCAAGUUUCUCUCACACAUUCAACAACUCACAACUUGAGCGCCAUGGAUUCUACUUCUGAAAUUGGUAUGAUAACCCUUUCUGUUUCACUUUCUUGAUCCAUAUCUCUUCGUCUAUACUUCCACAUUUUGCACGGCUGCAUCCAUGUUUUAUGAUUUCUACUUCUUGCUAAAAAUGGCAGGUGCAUUGAUCAUCGAAGCUGGUGCUAGUGGAGACCUUAAAAAACUUAAAGGCGAUCAUCAUCAUCAUCAUGUCAUUGUAUUCUUACUUUUUUUUCCUUAGAUUUUCAUUUUUGUUGUGUGAUCGCAGAGAUGAGAAGGAAGGUUGGUGAUGACACAGAGUUGAGGAGAAUAUGUGAUGUAUACACUGACUUCUCCACAGGCCGGUGUGUGUUGCAUCACGCUGCUGAAAUCGGACAUUUUCAGAUUUGCAAAUUCUUGAUUCACAACCUCAAAGUCCACAUCGAUGCACGGACUUUCACCAGUUCUCUCUCUCUCUCUCUCUCUCUCUCUCUCUCACGUAUGUGUUUGGCCGUGUGAGAUAAAGAGCGGGGUUUUCUUUAUUUGGAUCCAUUUGUGUAUUUCCUUAAGGAUUAACACUGAUGCGCGCCACAAUCAUAAUUAGCGAAGAUAGAGAGAGAAUUAUGAUAUAUUAAUGUUGCAAACGGGAUGUGCGGGAUUUUUUGAUAUAAAUUAAGCAUAGGUUUGUAGAUUUUGGGUUUUGUGUUUGAAGGUUACGUGAGUUUAAUUUCUUUUUGGUGUUGUAUUGUUGUGUUGUUGGUGAGAUAAAUUUAGAGAUGAGGAAUGUAAAGGACAAGGAUGUGGAUUGGGGAGUUAGGAGAAUUAGAAGAGAAGGUGCAAGUGUAAAUGCAGAAUCAGGUUAUAGAGCAGUUGCUCCCCUGUUUGAAUUAGUGUGGUCGCCGCACACUGGUUUGACUCUCAAAUAUGCGAAUUUAGGGGCCGAUAUUAGGAAGCAAAAUCUGGUCGUUGCUUCACAACCGAAGCUAAGAUAAUGGGUGGUCAAAGCAGCAAUCGGCGGCGACAUCGCUGGUCGGCGGCACCAUUAUCUUGAGAUGGGGUUUUAGUCUAGCUAAGUUAUCUUGAGAUAAUGCCGAGGCUAAGUUAUCUUGAGAUGGUUGUUGGUUAUGAUUUUCAUUAUUUUUCUUCAUCUUGAAUAAUGAUGUGGAAUGGAAUAAGUUUAUAUCCAAUUUCCUUGUGUGGUGUAUGAUUUCUUCCUGCUGCAGUUAUUUAGUGUCUUUCACAAACGAUCACUUUUGUAUUGGUGCCAUGAGGCACUCUAAAAUGGCAUGAUUAUCAUAUGGUUACCUCCAAAGAUCAAAGCUUACAAAAAUUUCUCACUGUUAAUACCGCUGGAGUAUAAGCCGUCCGUCCAAAUUGGAUGCUAUCAUUUAUAAUUAUUUUAGUAUUAUUUUUAUAAUCAUAAUAUAUGAAAUAAUUAUUAUAUAAAUAUUUUCUAAUUUAUUAAUUUGAUCAAAUUAAAUUGGGGGUGCAUUUUACAUUAUAUUAAUCGAAAGUGAAACAUUAUAUUAAUCUCAAUAACUUUCGUUAAUUAAUUUUUGUUUGGGAUAUAAAACUACCUUAUUAAUUUUUUUUAGAGAAUGGAAUGUAGAUUUAGAAAAAUAAGAACAAGAAAAUAUGUAACUUUUUUUUUUAAAAUUAAUAGUAUUAAAUAAAGAAAUUUAAAGGCCGCGUCACAGGGGACUCGAACCUAAGAGUAUUAAAUAAAGAAAUAUUUUCUAAUUUAUUAAUUUGAUCAAAUUAAAUCAAAAUGAAUGUUUGACCUUUACAUACUAGACUUGAUGGUCGACACUCACACGCUCGAUAGAGCGUCGAGCAAUAGUUCAGUUGGAACUAUUGUUUGACACUCGAGCAUUAAGUAUCGAGCAUUGAGCGCAACCUAGAUCUGAGAGAGAAAGAGGCUCGAUUGCGCGGCGUGACGACGAGGCGCACCGGUGCAGCGUGGCGAAAGCACAUUGAGAGAGAGAGAGACAAACAGAGAGAGAUUUGUGGUGACGACAACACAUCUGUCUAAAGUGUGAGAAAGGUAGAUAGUCGGGGAGGCAAGGCGUGGGCGACGUAGUGAGGCAAAGAGGCGGCGAAGCAAGGUGAGACACGACCAUGACUAAGCUAAGCACAACGAGGCGGUGGGGCGAGGCGUGGGAGAGGUGGAGGCACAACACAAAGAAAGAAGGAGACAACAGAUUUGUUGAGAGAGAGAGAGAGAGGCACAGAGCCGGCGAGGCGCAACACGAUGUGGCAAGGUGAGAGGCAGCAGCAACAAGGCGAGGUGGAAGUGCGGUGCAACGUAGAGGAAGAGAGAGAAAGAGGAGCAAAUUUGCUUUUUCAAAAUUUCAAUUAUUUUUAAUCAUAUUUUCACUAAGGGUAUACAUAUCUUAAAUGGGUAUUAUAUGCGUUUUAGUUUGUGUGAGUAUUUUUUUUUCUUUUAUCUUUGAGAAUAAGUAAAAUCGUAUAAGCUACAAUUAACCUAAUAAUUUAUAUAGUUUCUACUUAUGUUAUCAGGACCGACAUACCUUUUGUUUUGGAUCAAAUUCCUCCCGAAAUAGCAAAAUUAUGGAUUAUCUGAUAACUUGAUCAGUGAUAACAAUGAAUUGUAGACAUUAUGAGACAUAAAAAUUCACGAGGAUGGAAAGCCAUCCUCAAUAUUAACUAGCACAUGCAUGUUCGUGCAAUGCAUGAUCAAUAUUGAAAUUAAACGACAUUUUAAAUAAAUAAAUAAAUAAAUAAACAUAUUAAAUAUAAUGUAAAUAUAAAUAAAUACAAACAUGAAUCUUAAUAAAAACAAAAUUGAAAUUAUCUACAACAUAAUUUCAAUAAAAAACAUGAAAUUAAAAAUAUAUAAAUUUUUAAUUUUUGAAAUACCAAUUAAUUGAUUUUCAUUUAUAAUGUGUAUAAAUAUAUAAAUUCACCAUCGAGUUUCAAUUAUGCUUACUUAUAUAAAUUCACCAUCAAAAGUAAGUAUAAAUAAUAAUGAGUAUCAUUAUAUAUCAUAUAUUCCCUCCAUCCCGUUCCAAUAGUCAUGUUUCUUUCGGCACAGAGAUUAAGAAACUUGCGUUUUGGAUGAAAAGUGGUGUUGUCCACUUUAAUUUAGCCAUUUAACUACAAUCCUAAUUUUUUUAUUAAUCCUCUUAAUUGAGUUAGUUCAUUUUACACUAAAUAUUUGAUUAUCCCUAAUUAAUUGAAUUUCCUGGUGACUAAAUAUUUAAAUAAAAUUAUGAAACAACAUGAAAUUCUUAAAAAGCAAUUAAACAAAUGAUAAGUAUUGAAACAGUAAAAAUAUUUUGGUUGACUUGAUUUAUAAUCUGGAACAUAAUUCAAAGUCUUACAUAAUCUGCCAAAAUAAAAAAGGGCGCCAGAACUAAAAAUUUCGGAACAUGUUCAAAUUUUCCUCAAUUCCUAUUCUAUAAGUACAACACCCUACUCUUCAUCAUUUUUCAGAUUGCAUUUGUUACUUUGUCUUCAAAAUUCUACAGCCAUGCACUUAAAGAAUGUGAGUGAGCAACAAAAACAGAUUAUUGUGCUAUUCCUUCUCUAAUACAGUAAAGAUGGCAAGCCUUUUUACGGCAAAAUGAAGGAAGCAGCUGCCAUGUUCAACGUAUGCACGCAAACCAUCACUCGUCUAUGGACUGCAACAAAAAAAACAAGCAAUUCAAGGUCAGGUAAUCAAUUUAACCACGAAGAAAAGAAAUGCACCACGAUUCACAAAGAGAGUUCAAAUAGAUUUAGCACAAAUUCAGAGUUUGGAUCGAUGUAGAAAAUGAACUACUCCCUCUGUCCGCCAAGAUUAUGUCACAAUUACUAUAUUGGGCGUCUGCCAAGAUUAUGUCACUUUCCUUUUAUGGCAAUGGUCCCACCAUCCUCUUUAAUAUUUUAUCCUUACUAACACUUUUUAUUUACAAAAAAACCUCUCAAAAUUCAAUCUCAACCACUCAUCUCAUAAAGUGGUGGGACCAUUUCUCCACUACAUCAAAAUCAUCACCAAUUUUAUUAAAUCUCGUGCCCAAACAAAUUGCCAUAAUCUUGGCGGGCGGAGGGAGUAUUAGGAAGCUAGCAGCGGGCAUAAAGUGUAUCAAGAGCAUAGUUGAAAGGUGGGUUCAACUAGGGCUAAUAAGAGCUUACACGAGUGCCAUUAAGCCAGAUCUUACAGCCCUCAAUAAGCACCUAAGGUUAAGUUUUUCUCUUAAGGCCUUAGAGUUUGAUAGACUUGCUAAUAUUAUGAAAUUUAAGACUAUGCACAACACAAUUCACAUAGAUGAGAAGUGGUUCUAUAUGACAAAAGCAUCACAUCGAUUCUAUCUCACACAAGAGGAGCCUGAACCACACAGGAGCUGCAAGAGCAAAAAAUUCAUCACCAAAGUGAUGUUCAUGUGUGCGGUUUGUGGACCCCUUAUUGAUGAGAAUGGAAACAUAAAAUUUGAUGGGAAAAUUGGAAUUUUCCCUUUUACACAAUCUGUACCAGCACAGAGAAAUAGUAAGAACAGAGAUGCAGGGACAUUAGAGACCAAGGUCUUGCAAUCCAUAACCAAGAUGAUGAUCAAAGAUUUCGGGACCUCCUCCGGCUCUUCGAUUUUUGGAACCACCGUCUCUACCGCGAAAGACUCAGGUACCGCCGUCCAUCCUUCCUCCUUCGCUGUUUCAUCGACGUAACACCAAGAUCUCUGAAAGAAUAGGAGCGAUAUGGAGAGACGGAGUCGGGAACAAAUCCACCGCUCAAAGGAGAGCCUUCAUCGGAAUCGACAUCUAGGAGGUCGGAAUCCAUCAAAAUCGACGGAGGGUUGCAGUACAGAGGUGGAGAGACGAAGAUUUCGGAGGUCAGAAAACCCUAGAGAGGUCGAAGGGCGCCGCUAGAGAGAGAAAGAAGCGAGGGGUCAGAUUUCACAAAAUGAAUAAAUAAACGGUGAUUAGGGUUUAGAUAAUUAAGUGUUAAGUUGGCUUUAAAUAAGGCAUUAGAUUUCUUAAUUAAUUCUGAAAAUAGAAACAAGACUAUUCUAGUGGGACGUUCCGAAAAGGAAAAUAAGACUAUUAGAGUGGGACGGAGGGAGUAAUAUUCUAAGAUUUUCAAAAGUAUUUAUUUGCAUAUAGUUUAAUACUCCCUCCGUCCACCAAAAAUAGUCCUAAAAGAGGACGGCACGAGUUUUAAUGAAAAUUGUUAAGAUAUUGUAAGUGGAGAAAGGAUCCCACUUAAAAAGUAGUAUAAUUGAUGAUAAUUAAUUUUAUUGUGAUUAGAGAAAUAGGGCCCACCAUGUGAGAGAAACAUUCCAAAAAUAGAAAGGGACUAUAUUUUGUGGACAUCCCAAAAUGGCAAAAAUGGACUAUUUUUUGUGGACAGAGGGAGUACCUCGUAUCAUUAUAUAUCGUAUAUUUUUGGAUUGCAUAUUUAAUCAUAUUUAUGUGGUCAUUUUAUUUAAAUACAAAUUUUAAACUAAAGUUUCUAUACAACAUCCAAAUAUUUGAUUUUGCACAAAAGACAUGAUUUGUUUUCUUUAAUAAAAUUGGUCAAUUUAUUAAGUUUUUUAUAAUAUUGAACAAUGAUAUUGCAUUAUUUUAGUUGGGGUUCGAUUUUAAUAAUAAAAAAAUUAUCUGAAAAAUGGUUCUAUCAGUGAGUCGUAAGUACAUACAUGCCAUGUAAUUUGAAACAAUUAUUUUUAUAUGCAUUAAAAGUUUUAUUUGUGUGUUUUACUGAUUUUUAUUAAUGGAUUAGCGGGAAAAAAAAAUAAAGGAUUGAAAAUGAGAUAUGUCUCGUUCAUUUUCAAAAAUAAAAUGUAUAUAAUUUAAGUAAAUCUGAAUAGAUAUGUUACUACAAAAUUAAACUCUUCCAUUUACUUUUUUUAAGAGAAUCAAUAAUGAUUCUCCAAUUAAUGAUUUUUCAAUGAAUCUUUUUUUUUUUCGCUUAAUAGAUAAUUGUCAAUCUAAUAUUAAAUUUAAUUAAGAAACAAAUGUUAAUGUAAAUAAAUAUAAAAAUCCAUAGAAAAACAUACUGAAAAUUUAAUAAAUCUAAAUCAUAUAUGAAAAUUUAUUUUUAAGAUAUAUAUAUAUAUAGUAUAAUAUUAUUCAUCUAUAAAUUUAUAUUAAUAUAAAUUCCACUUAAAGAAUUAUGUUUAAGUUAAAGAGUUCUAAAAUGAAUAAAUAUAAGUUUCAUAUUUCUAGUUGCAUUAAAUUGUUAUAAUAAAUACUCCCUCCGUCCCACGAAUCUUGAUGCAUAUUCAUUUUUGGGUCGUCCCACGAAAUGUUGAUGCAUUUCUAAAUAUAGUAACAAUUAGCUAAAAAAUAAGAGUUCUUAAUUUUACUUAAUUAUCACGUUUCUACUUUAUUACCUACACACUUCUACUUUAUCACUUUUCUACUUUAUUACCAACACACUUGAAACACCAAUCGACAACUCCUUAAUUCCCGUGCCAAAAAUAAAUGCAUCAAGAUUCGUGGGACAGCGGGAGUAAUAUAAAAAAAAAUAAUAAAAAAAUAAUAAAAUAAAUAUAGAAAAAUGAAUGAAGGAGAAAGAACCAUAAAAUUGAAAGAAAUGACAAAAGAGAAAGUAAAGAUGAGAGAGAAAAAAAAUUAAUUUUGUAACUUUAAAUGAUAAUAACUUAUACGUUUCAAAUUUAUUUUUUAUAAUUUUACAUCAAAUUAAAGAUCAUGAUCAAAUUAAAGAUCUUGUCAUGGUCUUUAGUUUAAUAUCCAUAUUUAAUAUCUUUUAUUAAUCAAAAUUGACGAUUUUUAAAAAAGAAUAAAAAAGAAAAAUGAAGAAGAAGAAAUUUUGGUGAAAAAAAGUUUACGUUAGAACUCCUCUUUUAUAUAUUAUAUUAAUUAAUUAUAUUGAUUGGAGUGCGGGUACUAAAUUGCAUAGAAUAAGAUGUUUCAUUUAAUUAUAUGUACUUUCUUGCUUUUGUUAUUAAUAAACAUGCAUAAGUAAUGUUUUUCAGAUUCCACCUGCAAUUAAAGUUAAGUGGCCCAUAGAUGAGAGCAAGCAUAUUUACAUACUACAAAACAAUGCAUAGCCACACAUCAAGGAUAAUUAAUGAUCCUAUUUUCAUAAAUGUAGCAAUAUACAAUGGAUUUUAUUUCGAGUUAGUCCAACAAAAUAAGGCAAGUGAAAGAAGGAAUUCAUAGCAAAAUAAGGAACCCACAGUAUAUAUUCUCAAAACAGAAAUCUAGAGCAUAAGCUGAAAUGCAGUUUAUAUGUUGAAGCUGAAGCUGUUGAUCGAACCUUUAGUGUUGAAAAUUAUAGUUGAUCAACAAAUCCUAGCAACGAUUUCAGUCAAACUUAGGAAACAGUUCCAGUAAAUGCAGUUUAUAAUCCCCCCCCCCAAAAAAAAAAAAACUAUAUUAACAAAAUAGAGCUUAUGUGAUCAUCAAAAUCCCCCCAAAAAACCCUUAUUUUCACAUGCAAUAGCAAUUAAUUCACAGUGAGCAAAAUCAUAUGAAUUAAAAUUAAACAUAAGCUCUAUCAUGAUUACCACAUUAAGAAAUAUAUAAUCUGAUGAGUCCAUUUUUGGUGGGUUGUUUUUAAGAAGAUUUACCUGUUGUGCGUUCAAGUAAAAGUUGAGAGCAAUUGCCGAGAAAAGUAAAGACUGUUGUAUUAGAAAUCACAUAAGUUACAUUGUGGUACAGUAGUUCUAUUUAUAAGGACGUACAGGGGGCAAAAUGGUAAAAUUGAGGUCGCAGCCCUGACCUACGCUAAGUAGGAGAAGUCCCUACAGCCCUGCCUCAUGCUUUUCAUUCUUCGUAGUAGACGUUGUUCUUCAGUUCAGUCGAGGUCAGCCCUGCCAACUUGAUUUCAGCCCUGCCAGUUUGAUUUUAGCCCAUCCCUAACCACAGCGUUGCCCUCAUGCUGUCGUAUAGAAUUAAUAUGGUCACGUUCCUGCAAGCUUUAUUGCAUGGUCUUCUCGUGGAGCCCCCGAGUUGACUUAUUCUCCCCGUUCCAAGGUCAGCGCUGAAUUUCCCGAGGCGGGGUAAUGCAUAUUUUACUCCUCAUCAUAAUCCAAUACAUCUAAGAAAACAUAAGCUCUAUCAUGAUUACCAAAUUAACAUAUUUGAUGGUAGAGAUAGAUAUAAUUACUUAUCGUUCAAAGUUUUCGAACUUUCGGUGAUAUUCGCGAAUGGAGUUGCAACUACAUAAGUUGAGGAAUGCUGAGAACUGGGCAAUGGUGGGAGCUUUCUGUGAACGGUGCGAUGUUAGAAGAAGAGAGGUGGAGGAAUUUAUUCGGAACUUUUUGUGAAUGCCGGCCAAUUAUUUUUUCUCUCUCUAUGGGCUUCUUAUUUUGCUCUGGCCCAUAUUUCAAUAUAAGUAUUUGGGUUUUGCUCACUAUGCAGAAUUAAUACAGAAUUAUCUGAAUAUGCGCACAAAGAAGAUAAUAGUUAGAAGUUAAUCUAAAAUGGACUUCAUACAAAAAAUGAGAAUGAUGAUAGAUUAUAUUUAAUAUAAGGAUUCCUCGCUUUUUUAUCUCAGGAUAAUUGUAUUGUAGCUUGAUUAGAAUCGAUGGUGAAUCCAUUCUUCAAAUAAGAUCAUAUAACACCAGUUAGAAAGUGGCAAAAUCAAGUAACAAAUAUAUUGGAAAAAUAUCCAAUAUUUACCAAAAUCAGGUAACAAAUAUAUUGGAAAAAAUCAGGCAAAAUUAGGUAACAAAAUCAGGUAACACAAAUACGAUGCAUUUUCUUCUGUAAAAUCCAAACAAAGAAAUAUAUUAACGAAGAGGUGAAAAUCAAAAUGCAAUUGUAGAUAUGAACAAUGACACGUCGAACGUGGUGAAAAUCUUUGGUUGUUGCUUGUGAUUUUGGUGACCUCGGUGAAUGUGUGUUGAUGAAGAAGACUUUGAGUGAAGAUGGAACAAGACUUUAAUUUGGGUGGCCUCGGUAAUGGUUUGUGAAGAAGAACAAUGAAUUUUGUUCUUUCUUGGUAGUAGUGAACUUAAUUACUUAGUACCAACCACAUUUGGUUAGUAAAUUUACUAUAUUGAAGUAAAUUCGAAAAAUGAAUAUAUAUUUGUUAUUGAAGUGUAUCUGUAUUUGAAAAUAAUUGUUUAUACUUGCUACUUAAUAAAUUUUUGUGCUUAAAAUAUAUAUUGAAGUAUAUAUGUGUUAUUUGGUACUUAAUAAUUUUUUGUCAUUAAAAUUUUUAUAGAUGGUGUGUAACAUUAUAGUUUUACAUUUCAAAAAAUUUAAAUAUUGAAGCUUAAAUUAUUUAUUUGAUUGAUGAGUCUAAUUAUAUAGUCUUUUUAAUUCACAAAACAAAAAUUUCAUUAUGUGUUAGUUUGAUUUACAAUUUUUUUUACUAAUAAGGGUAAUUAUAUAAUUUUCAAAUAAAUACAUAAUAAUAAAAUUAUUAUUUAUUUAAUAUAAUUACAUAAUAGCCCAAUUUCCUUGAGGCCAAUUGAGUAGCCCAAUUCGUUUGAGACCAACAAAGGAAACAGUUUGAAUCCAAUUUUCUUGAGCCUAAUUAAGGAUUUUAUUUAUGAAGCUAAGAAAUAGUAACUUUUUAAUUUAUGAAAAAUUUAAAUUUAUUUAUUUCGUUCAAAGCUCAAUAAAAUAAAUUAGUAGAACACUUUUUUUUUUUUCUGUUUAAAUGUGUUAUUUUGUUGUGGCUCAUUUUUUUAUAUAACUUAUUUUUGUUGUGGCGCAUAUGAAGAAUAAAUAUAUAUGAACUUAAUUAGGCUCAUAUAUUCAAUACAAUACUUCUAAAUGUAAUGUAAAUUAUCAAUUUUGUUUACUUUCUUUGUAUUAUAUUUUAUUAUACAUGACAAUAUUUCUCUGUAAAUUAUCAUUUUUUUUUAUAAAUACGUAAAUUAUCGGAAAGUGCGAAGCACGGGUUUAAUACUAGUUCAUUUAAUACCUUGGAAUUCCGAAAAGCGGGCGGCUAUGGGCGGCAGCGGACUAAUUACAACGCCAUUGCAGAGAAAUCCCUUUGAAGUCCCGUGCCAGAGCAGCGAAGUCCCGCGCCAGAGAAGUCUCGUGCCAGCGAAAUCCCGUGCCAGAGUAGUCUCGUGCCAUAGCAGCGAAAUCCCGUGCCAGAGCAGCGGAGUCCCGUGCCAGAGCAGCGAAGUCCCUUGCCAGUGCAGCGAAGUCCGAUGACAGUGCAGCGUAAUCCCGUUCCAGAGCAGCGAAGUCCCGAUGCCAGAGCAGCGGAGUCCCGUGCCAGAGCAGCGAGGUCCCGUGCCAGUGCAGCGAAGUUCCGUGCUCCAAAGCUGAUACUCCAGAGUUAACACUCCUGAGCUGAGUUUCCAGAGUCUUUAUGUGUGCUGAAAACUCCAGAGCUGUAUAGUUAUCGCUCCAAGAGUCAUCACUCCAGAGCUAUCAUUCCAGAGCUGAAGAUUCAGAGAUGAGCCCCAGAGCAGAAGUUCCGGAGCGGAAUUGUACUUCCUGACCUAUAGCUCCAGAGCUGUAGUGCCAGAGUCGAUGCUCCCAACAGCUGUUGUUCCAGAGCGGUGGUUCUAGCGCUCAAGCUAUUAAGCUGAUACUCCAGAGCUUAAGCCCCAUAGCUGCUGAUCCAGAGUAGAAAUUCCAAAAUUGCAGGCCAAUGCAAGCGUUCCAGAUCAUUUUCAUGCGUCGUCUUGAAAAUUUCUAUGGGUUCACAAAUAAAAUUCCGUUUGGCCAUUAUCAAAGGAAAGUAGUAGCAUAAUGAAAACAGCAAAAUGAAAUAUGGGUUCACAAAUAAAAUUCCGUUUGGCCAUUAUCAAAGGAAAGUAGUAGCAUAAUGAAAACAGCAAAAUGAAAUAUGGAGCACAUGAAAAGCCAGAAGUUGAAAUACGAUGCUGCAAUCAAUGGCAGAGAAAAGAAGGGUACAAAGAUUAGAAGAACAUGAGGAAAGUAAUAGGGUCUUGAUUCAUGGAACAUAAAUCGCUNNNNNNNNNNNNNNNNNNNNNNNNNNNNNNNNNNNNNNNNNNNNNNNNNNNNNNNNNNNNNNNNNNNNNNNNNNNNNNNNNNNNNNNNNNNNNNNNNNNNNNNNNNNNNNNNNNNNNNNNNNNNNNNNNNNNNNNNNNNNNNNNNNNNNNNNNNNNNNNNNNNNNNNNNNNNNNNNNNNNNNNNNNNNNNNNNNNNNNNNNNNNNNNNNNNNNNNNNNNNNNNNNNNNNNNNNNNNNNNNNNNNNNNNNNNNNNNNNNNNNNNNNNNNNNNNNNNNNNNNNNNNNNNNNNNNNNNNNNNNNNNNNNNNNNNNNNNNNNNNNNNNNNNNNNNNNNNNNNNNNNNNNNNNNNNNNNNNNNNNNNNNNNNNNNNNNNNNNNNNNNNNNNNNNNNNNNNNNNNNNNNNNNNNNNNNNNNNNNNNNNNNNNNNNNNNNNNNNNNNNNNNNNNNNNNNNNNNNNNNNNNNNNNNNNNNNNNNNNNNNNNNNNNNNNNNNNNNNNNNNNNNNNNNNNNNNNNNNNNNNNNNNNNNNNNNNNNNNNNNNNNNNNNNNNNNNNNNNNNNNNNNNNNNNNNNNNNNNNNNNNNNNNNNNNNNNNNNNNNNNNNNNNNNNNNNNNNNNNNNNNNNNNNNNNNNNNNNNNNNNNNNNNNNNNNNNNNNNNNNNNNNNNNNNNNNNNNNNNNNNNNNNNNNNNNNNNNNNNNNNNNNNNNNNNNNNNNNNNNNNNNNNNNNNNNNNNNNNNNNNNNNNNNNNNNNNNNNNNNNNNNNNNNNNNNNNNNNNNNNNNNNNNNNNNNNNNNNNNNNNNNNNNNNNNNNNNNNNNNNNNNNNNNNNNNNNNNNNNNNNNNNNNNNNNNNNNNNNNNNNNNNNNNNNNNNNNNNNNNNNNNNNNNNNNNNNNNNNNNNNNNNNNNNNNNNNNNNNNNNNNNNNNNNNNNNNNNNNNNNNNNNNNNNNNNNNNNNNNNNNNNNNNNNNNNNNNNNNNNNNNNNNNNNNNNNNNNNNNNNNNNNNNNNNNNNNNNNNNNNNNNNNNNNNNNNNNNNNNNNNNNNNNNNNNNNNNNNNNNNNNNNNNNNNNNNNNNNNNNNNNNNNNNNNNNNNNNNNNNNNNNNNNNNNNNNNNNNNNNNNNNNNNNNNNNNNNNNNNNNNNNNNNNNNNNNNNNNNNNNNNNNNNNNNNNNNNNNNNNNNNNNNNNNNNNNNNNNNNNNNNNNNNNNNNNNNNNNNNNNNNNNNNNNNNNNNNNNNNNNNNNNNNNNNNNNNNNNNNNNNNNNNNNNNNNNNNNNNNNNNNNNNNNNNNNNNNNNNNNNNNNNNNNNNNNNNNNNNUAGCAGCUAUGGAGUGGUGGAGAGUGGGCGAAUGAAUUCCCGAUCCUUCAAAUGCAAAGGUCUUGCCAGUCGGGCAGACCCUGACCAAUCAUACUGCUGAUGCAGUAUUCCCUUGACCACCUACUGUAUCUCCACCGGCCCCACCUACACACUUUGCUUCGCAAAGUGGGUUUUGAUCUUCAAUGCAUAGGGUCCAGCUCAACUCUUCUGCAUGGUUAGUCCUCCAAGAAACACAAAACACAAGGAAAAUAAAAGAAACAUGAAACAAAGCAGUAAUGGUCAUACCAGCGACCUUAUUCUGGGUUGCCUCCCAGUCAGCGCUCUUGUUUAUUGUCUCGAGCUCGACGCUGUCCACUCCUUCAUGCAAAAUAAGGUUCUACGAGAAAACCUUUCUCCAUCAUCGGUAUGCCUGGAUCAUAGACUCGCUUUCCAAUUUCCUUUCUCACUCCAGCACUACCGUAUGCCUUGCUCCAUUCCUCAUGAUCUUGUUGCAUCUUUUGCUCAACUUCAUCUUUUGAUCGAGAUGGUGCAGCCUCAUUUCCUGGGAUUUCCUGGCUGAGUUCCUCCAAAAAAUAUGAUUCCAGCCACUCUUCUUGUUUGGCAGCAUCAGUAAGAUCUUUCAGCAACUCCUUCUCUGGUAUGACCGCCACCACAGAUUCUGACUUUCCAGCCUUUUCCAUUCUUGCCUUCUUUCCAAAUGGCUGGCAUUUUGAGUUAGUGGCCGUUUUUGAUUAUUUGCUUUCUCCAAGAUAUUCGGCCAAGGCGGUGCGGUAGUUGGCAGUUUCUGGGUAAUCUCCUCUGUAUGGGCUUCUCUGACAGAUUCUUCAGAUGCCGGUAUGCAUUUUCCGAUUGAUUUAACUGCAGUGCCUGGCAUCUUGGGCAUACUGACAUGCCGAUUUUCUGAAUUAUUCUCCUCUUGCAGUGUUGCUCCCUCAGCUUCUUCGGUCAGAUCGAUCCCAGCCUUUGAUUCAGACUCGAAGAGUUCAACAUCCUUAGUUAUUGCUCCUAUUAACUCGUCCCAAGUUGGUUCUUCUUGUGGUUUUGGUAGGGACGGGGGUGUCUGUGGUAUGCCAUGUACUGGAAGCAGUUGUUGAUUCUUCCAUUCUCCAUAUCCCCAUUGGGAACUUGGAUCUUCACUCCAUUCAACGUUGUAAGAGUGAGAGAAUGGAUCAUACUUCUCGUGCUGGUCAUCAUUUUCUCCUAUGGCAACAUCUUCAAUUGGUCCAACCCCUUGGGAGAGAGGGUAUCCAUCAAUCUGAUGCUCAGUCAUGUGGUCUGGGCCACACUGACGAACAUUCUCCGGUGUGAUCAAGAUUGCUACGAGUUGUUUGAGCUCCAUGAUCUCCUUCUUCAACUCGUUGAGGUUGCCAUUCUCCACAUUCUUUGGUACUUCCAGAUUGCAUUCAUAUGCUCCCAACUCCGUGGCCAUACAUUUAAUGACUUGCAAAACAUUUUUGGGCGUCUUGUCAAACAUCGAACCUCCACAUGCCGCAAUAACGAGUUUUCUCUCGUACUUCUUGAGUCCCGUUAUGAAGUGCUCCACCAAAUUAUAUUCAGGAAUUUGAUGGUGUGGGCAUUCUUCCAAUAACCCUUUGAAUCGGCUCCAAAACUCGUUCAAUGAUUCGAGCUCUCCUUGUUUGAUGUUCUGUAUGAUCCGCCUCAUACUGAAGACCUUUGCUGCUGAGUAAUACCUCUCCAGGAACUUUUGUUGCAUCUCAGCCCAUGUGGUCACACUGCCAGCGGUCAAGCCAUAAUACCAUUUCCUUGCACUACCUUGUAGUGUGAAAGGAAACAAUAGCAACCUGAUGUAUUCUCCCAUGGACAACUGGUUAUCCUCCGUAGAGCAUAUCAUCUCAAAGUCUCGGAGAUGUGUGAUUGGAUCAUCUUCAAGCAUGCCAUGGAAUUUUGACAUGAGUUGGAUCAAGUCUGUCUUCAGCUCAUACCGACCUUCGAUGGUCGGUAAGGUUAUACCGCUCGGCUUCAGGUUCAGGUCAGCCGGGAAUGCCAACUGACGCAUGGUCUGCGGGGCAGCAAUUACCAUCCCGCGUCUCGCCGUACUGCGUUGCACAGUAAGCGGAAGAUGAAAACUGAAGAGUAAAAUUGUUGCGCGUCACUCCCCGGCAACGGCGCCAAUUUGAUACGACGCGCGCGCCCGUUGCCCGGCGUGCAGUAUCAAAAUAAUUUAUGUAUGCCCUAGACGGACAGUACACCCUCCUAUUGCUCGCAACCAAAGAACAGUCUUAGCAGCAAGUAUAGGGUCGAUCCCACGGAGAGUGAGGAACUACUUUACUCUUCGGGUGCACAAACUGAGUUGUCACAGUCUCAAUCUGUAUAAUCUGCACAAUUAAACUUAAACAAAGAUCAAAUAUAACAAGGGGUGAGGUUUACGGUUAGGUCAUAACUGUUGUCAAUAUUUAUUUCGGUCAUAGGCAUACUAAUGAUCCGUCCAUGAUCCAUAUAAACUCAAGGCGUGGCCCAAAGACAUUGGGGCAUUUCAAGAGGCUAUACUUCACACUUAGGAUGGUUGAGUCCAUUGUAGUCACUUGGUCCGAAGGUCACACAUUCCCCGGUCGCAAGGCAGUGCUUCACUCCUCCUUAGAUAGUAGUCAUACCCGUUACUCACCAAGUAUGACCCUCACCAACCUUCUCUCCCGAGGUCCCCAACUCCGCACUUUGAGUGACACAUGCUGUUCGCAAUUAUUUUCACCACGCCGCAAGUAUACGGUGUAGUUGCAAUAUAAGGGAAGCAAGGUCGUAUCCCACAAGGAUUGGUGAAUUCAAACUUCUAAAUACCAUUAAUAAGUUGUUUUCAAUCUAUUUAGACAAACCAAAGAUGAAGAGAUAUUGAGAACUAAAACAAAGCUAAAUAAAGCAAGUAAAUAAAUAACAAUAACAUAAACUUAGUGAAUAAAUUGGGGAAUGACUCGAAUGAAAGUUAUCCUAGGGACUAGAUUUCGAUGGAUCGUAAUGAACUUCAAUCUAAAGCAAUAUUAAUCUUGAUAUGGCCUACUUAUCUAGGGCGAUCUCCCCACUAGUUUUAGCCCCCUCCCGGACGACUAAAACAGUAGAUUACGGGUCAUAAUUGCCGUCCCCGGUCAAUUUCUAACCUAUAACUCCCAAGAGCACAAAAGAUCAACAAGCCCUCACCCAACUCUCAACCUCCCGGUUUAUUGAGAUGAUAUGUAUCAAACUCCUAAUCUAUUGUAAUUAUCCUCUCCCGAUUCAAAUCACAAAUUAGAAAUGCACAAAAGGUGGCCAACCAAUCAUACAAGAGAUAAAUCUAGGACUUGAAAAGAUAACAAUAAGCACAAUCAAGAUAUAUAUUGAACAAAGAAAUCAAUCCAUUACAAAUCCAUCUAAUCUAAUCCCUAAGAUAAGAGAUUUUAGCCAAGCAUAUUCAUAAUAAAAGCAAAUCUCAAGUCAUAAGAAAACAUAAAUAAAGAUAUAGAGAGAUAGAGAUUCAUAGACAAAUCCUAUAAUCUUGAUCUUCAAUCAUGUAGUCUUGAUGAGCUCCUUUCCAAGUCUUCCCCUUCUUUAUUUGAUUUUGGUGUUGUUUUUGUGUGUGGAAGAGAGAAAAAAUGGUAGAGAAUGGAGGCUAGGGUUUGGAAUUGGAGAGUUGGGGAAGAUGAAGUGGGUGUGUGUGGUGAAUGAAUGGGGAAAAGAAGAGAAAAAUGGAGUUUUGAGGCUAAAAUCGCGUUUGGGGUCCACUUUGGGGGAGCCCCGCCCUUUUCCCGCGGUCACGGCCCGCGUCCGCGGCCUUCAAACGUGGGGGAUGCUCAGGGGACCCGCGGUCCCGCCCCGCGGCCGCGGGUGGUGACCGCGGGUGUCUCCUGAGUCGGGAACAGCUGACCCGCGGUCUUACCCCGCGGCCGCGGGUGGUGACCGCGGGGUACUGGGCGUUUUGCACAGUCCGCUCGUUUUGCUCCGUUCUCCCUCGUCCGGACUCGGAUUUGGUCGCCGUUUGCGCUCACGGAUUCCUCUCGAGACGUACUUCAAUAUAAUAUCUUCAAAAUCCUCCAAUUAAUCCUUGAUUUUUCCUGAAAUUACUCCAAAACUACACCAAGACAUCAAAUCUUCAUAAAACUCAACAUUAUGGUACAAACACGCAUUGGCAAGCAAAAUAUGAAGGGAAAUGACAACAAAUCAUGUGGAAUUGAGGUACGAAAACCAUGUUUGUCACAUGCCUCCUGGACACAACCAUUUCCGGCUUUGUCAGCCGACCAGUCAUAGACAUGCUACGGCGCCGAGAUUGCUUUCCUCGUUUGAUAACCAUGGCUUGAUGCCUCGUCACAGUUGAUGGAUGGUCUCUAGAGAAGCCCAAGACUGAGGAAGGACAGUGUAUCCCAUCAAUCCUUUCCCCACCUUCCGGAUCUACAACGCCUUUUGUUGACGUUGCUCAGCUACUCGGUCUUGGGUAUACCGGUUGUCACGCCCUGGUAUACCCUGGCCUUUGCUUGACACGAACAGCGUUUUACCGAACGGAGAUCACCCGUUAGGCCCCUACUGUCCAUGGUUUGGCACAGAUCCGUCUGGAACCACGAGACUCAACCGAAAGAACAAAUGCCUCACGAAUGUUUACAUAUUGACAACAAUUAUUUCCACCCCUUAAACCUCACCAAGGGAACUACUCACACAUAAUGGAAAACAUAAAUGCAAAAUAAAAUAAACACAUGAAUGAAAGGAAAUUUGAAAUACUUGAUAUAAAAAUACCUAAGGCAACAACCUUGGCUUUGUUCGUCACAACGGAAUUGAAAUACGAAAAGCAACUAAAUUGUUUGGUGCGAAAAAUAUAAAAGAACUAAAAGUAAAUUGUUUUCUUGGUGAACUAACAAAAGUCUAAGUCUAGAAGAGCACUAAAAACUGAUGUGUAAGUGUAAAAAUUCGUUCAUCCAAAACUGCUGUCAAACUCCUGUCAAACUCUUUGUAAAACUGCCCUCUGCCAGCCACAUAUGCUGAGGUCUAUAUAGCAGUUCGGUAAACCCUAGCCAGCAGACCAAAUCUGGCAGAUUAUUUCCUUCCAUAUUUAGCUUGAUCCUUGAUUUGAUUUGAUAGAUAAUGGAUCUCCAGCGGAUUUGGGGUUGAUUCCACAUUAUUCCAGAUCCUUCCAUUGCUAGAAUUCGCCAGAAUCUUCCAUGCAAUCUCCUCCACACGUCUUUCCAUAUAUAGCUCCAGCUGCUGACUGCUGUUGACGGGAAUGGUCAUACUAGCUUCUUUCUUCGGUUGGCCUCAUACCAGGUGGUACACUUCGAACGUUCCCGCGCCUCGAAUGGUUCUGAGGGGUACUUCGUCGAGCUCUCUUCCUGGUUCAUAUAUAGCCCAUCUGUGCUGACUGCGACUGUUGUUAUGGCCUUACCAACUGCUUCCUUCGGUUAGCCUCACACCAGGUGGUACACUUCGGAGAUUCCCGCGCCUCGAAUGGUUCUGAGGGGUACUUCGCCGAGCUCUCUUCCUGGUAAGUUUCACUUCUGGAAGUUUGGAUAGUUUUGUUCCGGUAAUGCCCAUUCUGACCAUAUUUCGUGCAUAUGCCCUGGACUGAGCCUUCUUCCUCCUGAAUACCUGUUUUCUCUCCUAGAGGACUCAAACAAAACAAAAGAAAGAGAAAAAUAGGGCCAAAUGGCCCAAAAGUCGAAGAUGCAUCAAUCCACAGGCUGCCCAAAGCCCUGCCCCUCCCUCGACAGAUCCGGCGGGGGCGAAGGACAGAUCCGACGAAGGGCGAAGGACAGAUCCGGCGGGGGCGGCAGGNUUUUCAUUUAAUUCUGCCUAGGGUUGUAAUGGUUUAUUUAUGCAUGAGUAUUUAUGUUUUGUUCUUUUCUGCCUAGUUAAUGGUAUUUUUUGCCUAUUUAUUUGUUUUUUUCUGCCUAGUUAAUUUUAAGUUUAAGUUUUAAGUUGAGUUUUAAUUACAAGCAUUAGUUUAAUUCUUUUCUGCCCAGUUAAUUCUUAAGUUUAAUUUCAAGUUAAGUUUUAAUUCCAAGCUUUAGUUUAAUUUUACUACUUUCAAACGACAAUCUUUACCGCUUUCUUGUGAUACAAUUAGAAGCCCUGUAAGAUCUUCCUUGAGAGACGACUUUGGGUCAACUUACCAUUGCUAGAGUGUCCUUGUCUUAUUGCAAGUCAAUCUAGAGGUGUUUUAGGUUGAGUCAACUAUUGCUUUGAUUUAUCAUAGGUAAGAGUUCUCUUGAAGCUCAAUAUACUCGAUUCUUUAGGUGAUAACAAUUAUUAUUUGACAUGCGAUUAUAUUGCAAUAAGGAUACGUGUCCUACUAAUAACAGGAUGAUAAUAUCCUCUUGAGGAACUUAAUAAGUUUAUCGUAUUAAACCCUGUAGGUGGAAUUAGUUCCAAUACGAUAAUAAGUUUAAGUGGUAGCACUCGAGAUGUCGUUUAUAAUUAAAUGACCGAUUAAUUAAUUAAUCAAUCAUCAGAUGAAUUAAUUAAUUACUCGAUCUUCAAAUGAAUGAAUUAAUUAAUUAAUGGAUAUUAGAUAUCUUAAACACGGGGAUUAAUUAAGUCUAAUGCUAGCCCCGACUCACCUAAGGAAUAAAGAGGUAAUUCAGUAUUAAUUUUCUAGUGGAUUAAAUUAAUACUUGUGUAUCGAUUUUAUUUUGGGCUGAAUAAGAAAAUCGAGCACUGGGAGGCCAGACUUUAUUCGAGCUAGUAGAUCUCCGCUUGGCCCAAUAAAGGCGUAAUUCCAUAAGGGGGCGUCUGAUGGGACGCGCGCGCCCAUCGCCCGGCGCGCGGUAUCAAAAUAAUUUGUGUAUGCCCUAGACGGACAGUACACGCUCCUAUUGCUUGCAACCAAAGAAUAGUCUUAGCAGCAAGUAUAGGAUCGAUCCCACGGAGAGUGAGGAACUACUUUACUCUUCGGGUGCACAAAUUGAGUUGUCACGGUCUCAACCUGUUUAUCUGCACAAGUAAACUUAAACAAAGAUCAAAUAUAACAAGGGGUAAGGUUUACGGUUAGGUCAUAACUGUUGUCAAUAUUUAUUUCGGUCAUAGGCAUACUGAUGAUCCGUCCAUGAUCCGUAUAGACUCAAGGCGUGGCCCAAAGACAUUGGGGCGUUUCAAGAGGCUAUACUUCACACUUAGGAUGGUUGAGUCAAUUGCGAUCACUUGGUCCGAAGGUCACACAAUCCCCGGUCACAAGGCAGUGCUUCACUCCUCCUUAGAUAGUAGUCAUACCCGUUACUCACCAAGUAUGACCCUCACCAACCUUCUCUCCCGAGGUCUCCAACUCUGCACUUUGAGUGACACAUGCCUCCUGGACACAACCAUUUCCGGCUUGUUAGCCGACCAGUCAUAGACAUGCUACGGCGCAGAAGUUACCUUCCUCGUUUGAUAACCAUGGCUUUAUGCCUCGUCACAGUUGAUGGGUAGUUUCUAGAGAAGCCCAAGACUGAGGAAGGACAUUGUAUCCCACCAAUCCUUUCCUCACCUUCUGGAUCUACAACGCCUUUUGUUGACGCUGCUCAGCUACUCGGUCGUGGGUAUACCGGUUGUCACGCCCCGGUAUGCCCUGGCCUUUGCUUAACACGGGCAGCGUUUUACCAAACGGAGAUCACCCGUUAGGCCCCUACUGUCCAUCGUUUGGCACAGAUCCGUCUGGAACCACGAGACUCAACCGAAAGAACAAAUGUCUCACGAAUGUUUACAUAUUGACAACAAUUAUUUCCACCCCAUAAACCUCACCAAGGGAACUACUCACACAUAAUGGAAAACAUAAAUGCAAAAUAAAAUGAACACAUGAAUGAAAGGAAAUUUGAAAUACUUGAUAUAAAAAUACCUAAGGCAACAACCUUGGCUUUGUUCGUCACAACGGAAUUGUAAUACGAAAAACAAAUAAAGUGUUUGGUGCGAAAAAUGUAAAAUGACAAAGUAAAUUAUUUUCUUGGUGAACUAACAAAAGUCUAAGUCUAGAAGAGCACUAAAAACUGAUGUGUAAGUGUAAAAAUUCGUGCAUUCUCCUAAAACUACUAAAACUCUAAAAACUGCCCUCUGCCAGCCACACAUGCUGAAGUUUAUAUAGCAAUUCGGUAAACCCUAGCCGGCAGACCAAAUCUGGCAGAUUAUUUCCUUCCAUAUUUAGCUUGAUCCUUGAUUUGAUUUGAUAGAUAAUGGAUCUCCAGCGGAUUUGGGGUUGACUCCACAUUAUUCCAGAUCCUUUCAUUGCUAGAAUUCGCCAGAAUCUUCCGGGCAAUCUCCUCCACACGUCUUUCCAUAUAUAGCUCCAGCUGCUGACUGCUGUUGACGGGAAUGGUCAUACUAGCCUCUUUUUUCGGUUGGCUUCAUACCAGGUGGUACACUUCGAACGUUCCCGCGCCUCGAAUGGUUCUGAGGGGUACUUCGUCGAGCUCUCUUCCUGGUUCAUAUAUAGCCCAUCUGUGCUGACUGCGACUGCUGUUAUGGCCUUACCAACUGCUUCUUUCGGUUAGCCUCACACUAGGUGGUACACUUCGGAGAUUCCCGCGCCUCGAAUGGUUCUGAGGGGUACUUCGCCGAGCUCUCUUCCUGGUAAGUUUCACUUCUGGAAGCUUGGAUAGUUUUGUUCCAGUAAUGCCCAUUCUGACUAUAUUUCAUGCAUAUGCCCUGGACUGAGCCUUCUUCCUCCUGAAUACCUGUUUUCUCCCCUAGACGACUCAAACAAACACAAAGAAGAGAAAAAGUAGGGCCAAAUAGCCCAAAAGUCGAAGACGCAUCAAGGGCGAAGGCGAAGGACGGCUUCCUCCCUUGACAGAUCCGGCGGGGGCGAAGGACAGAUCCGGCGAAGGGCGAAGGACAGAUCCGGCGGGGGCGGCAGGUGAGGGCGAAGGGCGAAAGGCGGCUUCCUCCGACGACGAGCAGGGGAAAGGCAAGUGGAGGAGAAGGCUUCCUCCGGCGACGAGGAAAACGACGACGGUGGAGACUCAGGCGCAGAGAGAGACGAGAGAAAUAGAGAAAUAGAGAGAAAGAGAGAUAGAGAGAGAGAUAGAGAAUAGAGGGGAAAUCAAUUAAUUAAGGGUUUAUUAGUUGAAUAAUUAGUGAUCUCAUUUAAUGUUAAGCAUCCCCUUAUUAUUUCCUUUUUAUGAAACGGGACAUUAUCGGUGGGACAACCCAAAAAGGAAAAUGAGACUUGAAUAGCGGGACGGAGGGAGUACUUAGUACCAACCACAUUUGGUUAGUAAAUUAUACUAUAUUGAAGUAAAUUCGAAAAAAGAAUAUAUAUAUUUGUUAUUGAAUUCAGCGUAUCUGUAUUUGAAAAUAAUUGUAUAUACUUGCUACUUAAUAAAUUUUCGUGAUUAAAAUAUAUAUUGAAGUAAAUAUGUGUUAUUUGGUACUUAAUAAUUUUUUGUCAUUAAAAUUUUUAUAGAUGGUGUGUAACAAUUAUAGUUUUACAUCACAAAACAAAAAUUUCAUUAUAUGUUAGUUUGAUUUACUAUUUAAUUUUUUUACUAAUAAGGGUAAUUAUAUAAUUUUCAAUUAAAUACAUAAUAGUAUAAUUAUUAUUUAUUUAAUAUAAUUACAUAAUAGCCCAAUUUCCUUGAGGCCAAUUGGGUAGCCCAAUUCGUUUGAGGCCUACAAAGGGAAUAGUUUGAAUCCAAUUUGCUUGAGCCUAAUUAAGGAUUUUAAUGAUGAAGCUAAGAAAUAACUUUUUAAUUUCUAAAAAGUUUAAAUUUAUUUAUUUCAUUCAAAGCUCAAUAAAAUAAAUUAGUAGAACACUUUUUUUUUGUUUAAAUGUAUUAUUUUUUUGUGGCUCAUUUUUUUAUAUAACUUAUUUUUGUUGUGGCACAUAUGAAGAAUAAAUAUAUACGAGCUUAAUUAGGCUCAUAUAUUCAAUACAAUACUUCUGAAUGUAAUGUAAAUUAUCAAUUUUGUUUAAUUUCUCUGUAUUAUAUUUUACUAUACAUUACAAUAUUUCUCGGUAAAUUAUCAAAAAAAAAUUAGAAUCCUAUAGUACUUCUACUAUACAUUAUAAAUACGUAAAUUAUCGGGCCUGCGAAGCAUGGGUUUAAUACUAGUACUACAAAACAAUGCAUGGCCACACAUCAAGGAUAAUGAUCUUAUUUUCAUAAAUGUAGCAAUACACAAUGGAUAUUAUUUCGAGUUAGUCCAACAACCCCCCAAUUCACCAGACACUAAUGUGAAUGACUUGCGGUGGUUUAGGGUCAUCCAAUCCAUUUCAAACAAAAACAGUAUGCUACACAAUGGAUCAAUUGAUUCAUGUUCUUGAUUAGUCAAUUGUUCAGCUUUUUCCAAUAACACUCAACAAUGUGUUCUUGCCAUUACAAGGUUGUAUGCUUGAAAUCAUGAAAGUGAGACGUGAGAACUGUUAUAAACUUCCACAUAUGAAGAAUGACUCACUUAUAAGGACAUGAACACUUCCAUUAAUUUUAAAAGUACAUGGAGAUUUGGUUAGACAGUUCUAACCUAUUUAGUUGAAAGAGAAAACAUAUAUAAAUGGAAUUUACACACUUAGCAAUAUCUUAGGUAUUGUUAUGAAUGAAGGUAGAAUUCAAGAGGAAGGGUGGUAAGCACUGUAAAAGGAUGUCAUUCUUUUGUAGAUAAGUUUAUGCUUAUGAAACAUGUAUAGAUAUGCACAUGUUUCAGAUGUAAACUUAUGUUUUGUAGGUUAGAGUCUGAUGACAUUUUGUAAAUCGACGAAAACAUGAUUUUGUAUGAUGCAUCCAUAAUGCAACGACAUUUAAUUUACCCUUAUAUGCAUUUAUCAGGAGCAGACAAACGAGAUUAGGCACCUCAAGAUUUAAAACCACAUCACAGGUAGCCAAACACCAAGAACAUCACAUGCAACUAACACCUUGUGCUAAUCGAAAAUCACAGGCAACCUGCUGCCUCAAACACCAACAAACAAAAUCAUAGAAACAUUAAUAAACAAAAUCACAGGAAGCCAACUACCUCAAACAUCAACAAAAUCACAAGCAGCCUACUGCCUAAAACACCAACCAAAUCACAGUGAACCACCAAAAAAAUCAAAUGCGAGCAUAGUCUUAUCAUUUCGGCACAAAUGAUCCAUUUCCUACAUAUAACUACUACAUGCAAACAUCAUCAAGAAACACACAAGAUUAAUUAGGGAAAUAUUUAACUAGGUUAAAUAAUUUUGGAAGAUAAAUCUGCAACAUCAUCUUCACCGAGUCUCUCUCCGUCUCCCCCGAACAACCAUUUCCAUUUGAAGAAAGAGAGGUCAGUCUCUCCGGUAGUAGACAAGAGCGCUUAACCCCUCCCACUACAGUUCUUUAGCUUCGGCCUCCUCUGCCCAUUACCAAGUCUCACUCCAUCUCCCACGAAUAGUCAUCGCCACCAGAGAAAGGCGAAUCAUUCUCAACGAUUGUCGUUGCAUUAAUACUUUCUUCAUUCGUUGUAUGCAACAACGCUACGUUCGUUGGCGAUUUCGACCUUGAUGAUUGUUUGUAUUCAUCAUAAAUCUCCAAUUUUAGGGUAAUUUUUUUUUGUAGAUCUCAUAUUUUGACAGAAAAGAUUAGGGAUGGAGACCUAGGGCCAACCCUUCUAUAUGCCAAAAGGGGCAAAGGCCUAGGGCCCCCAAAGUUGAGGGGCCCCAAAUUUUAAAAAUAAAUUCAUUAAUUAUAAUAUAUUUUGUAUUAAUCAUAAAAAAAUUAUUAUAUAGCAAUCUUGAAUUGAUUAUAAUAAAAGAAUAUAUCUGCAUUGUGCUCGUCUCCUAUGUUUUACUAUCUCAUCUCACACUUUAUUUUUUUCAUGUUUUAUUUUUUUCUUGUUAGAUAAGAAAUGUUAAAUAAGUUAUAAAUUUUAUGCACUGAAAAUAAGGUAUUAGAGAAACUUAAUCUUGAGAUAACAAGAUUUUUGAAGUUUUAUUUUUUAUGGGCCCUUUUUUUGUUUCGCUUAGGGCCCUCAAAAUCUCAAGACCCGGCCCUGUGGUUGUGGAGACCCCGACAUAGAAUGACGGUGAUUUCUUGAUGCCUUGAGAUAUAGUGAGGGAGAAGGGAGUAAGGAGUUGCACGAUAAUAUCCUAAUUAUGGUUUAACAUUAAUUCGAUCUUGGGCCUUAAUUUUGAUUGUAUUAGGUCAUAAUUUUUUUAAUUGAAAUAUUAUAAAUGAGAUAAUUCAAAAUAAAAUCGAGACAUUAUUAAUGCAACGGAAAAUGAGUACUAUCAGAUUUAUCACCAAAGUUGAAUGAAGAAGUGACAAAACUGCUAACAACAGAAAGAAGAGAGGGUAAAUUAAGAUAUUAUGAGAAGGUGGGGACUAUAUAACAAAUUUGUGCAGCUAUGAGCUAUGAGAUUGGCAGCACUAAACCCUUGUAAUUCCUCGACGUCGAUCUUCCGCUCUCCACCGCCUCUCCGCCAGUUUUCCGAUGCUUUCUCUAGCCAGAAGAAUCCAAGGCCCCCAAAGAUUUCUCCAGAUUGCGGCGGCGCAGCAGCUCCGUCAUGCUCGAACUGACGCUAGCACCGACCGGUCACCUCGUAGCCGGCGGCGGUCGUCCAAGUUCUCUCCAUCGGCGAUGUUGAGGAAAGCCGAGGAUAAGUCGGAGUGGUGGGUGGUGGACGGUGAAAUGCACGAAAUCGGGGAAAAUGUACCGCUACGAGAGCGCUUUGUGAUCCCUAGGGAUAAUAUUCCUAAUAAGCGCCGGAAGCAGCUCCGAGAGCAGUUCAUGCGACGCACUCGCCUCGUCCUCAAGGAAUCUGUUAGUUCUCAAUUGAUUUUUUUUCUUCGUUAUUAUGGCUUUCUGAUUUUCUUUUUGUGAAUAAUUUUAUUUUAAUUUUGUAAAAUGUUGAAUUUAGGGAGAACAGAGGGAAAAUUGUGAAAUUGAGGGAGAAUAGACAAAUUAGAGAUAGGGGAAAUCUGUUCCAGAAUCUGUGAACUGUGAUUGAGAAGUUUAGAGUUAUAACUUAAGUGAUUGUUGUUAACUUAAACAUGAGCUAUGUUCUUUUUUGCAAUUGAAAGGAGCAUGAACCUUGGUGCAAAAGAUACAUGGAACUAUACAAUGAGCUCAGAGAAAACUGGGAGAGGCUGUAUUGGGAUGACGGCUAUUCCAAGAAACUUGCUCAGGAUCAUGCAAAUUAUGACUCACCCGAUGAUGAUGAAGAAGAUUUCAAUCCUUACAGGUUUGGGCAUUUUUUUGAUGUACCAUUUCAUCAUUGAUCUUAUGUGGUUUAAUCUAUCUGGUUGAGGAAUUUUUUUGAGUUGGUAUUCCUCUCUAACUCUAUAUUGAUCAGCAUUCAGCCUAUAGGUACGAACUUUGUAUCUCAGUAUGAUUCAUUUUGACCUGUUGGAGAUUGUAUGUUGAUUUCAUUCUUUCAUCAUUUUCAUAUUUUGGGAUGGAUAAUAGCAAAAGAAUAAUGGUGUGUAAUUUAAUGAAAUGAUUAUCACUCUUGUUGCAGGAAUAGACAGCCCCGAGCUGAUCAAAUCAAGGUAAUCUUUUGCAGACUACUUUUUGUGAAUUCUACAUGUUCUUGGAUUCAUCUGGUUAUCAGAACUUUAUGAAGACUAGAAUCUUUUGGCUGGCAGUUCUUUCCUCACCUGUCAUAAGAUAACGCUCAUACAAAGUUUGAAAUGGUAUUUACAGAUAUCAUGUUGAAUUAGUUGUUUGGUUUGUAAUAAUCUGUUUAUAAGUUUUUUCCCGUGUAUUCUGGCGACUCUAGAUUGAUACAUUAAGAUGUUUCAUAUACUUAUUUCUGUAGCAUUUGAACUUGACAUUGACCAUUUUAGCUACAGCAUCAAUUUGUGGGGAGAAACAAGGAAAGCGACACUUGGGAAAAGGCUAGCCAAAUCCGUGACAAAUUUGAAUAUGAUAGGGAGAGAAGAAUGGCGGAAAAAGGUUAGUGAGUUGGUUGUACCUCGAUUGCUUUUUAAAUUUACAUGUACAUUUUGUAUGUGAUAUGAUACCUACAGAUCUUUGACACAGCUAAAGAAUUGGUUUUAUGUUAUUCUGUACCAAUGAAGAGUGAAACUCUUAUUCAUUUUGUUCUUAUUUCUGGUUACUGGAUUCAUGUAACUUGUGAGUCUUCUUGUUGCCUUGUCAUCUAGCUCCUGCCAAAAAAAUCCCUUUAGUCAAUUUCUGUAAGUAUUUUGAUCAUACUUGUGUAUUGGGAAUUGGAUCAAAUCUCAAAUUUGAAGGCAUACCUAAGAUUUAAUAAGCAGAAAAUAUUCAUUAUUUCUGAUUUCCAGGGUCUUAUAUAAAUAGUUUUCAAUUUGCAGCCUUUGCACCAAUGAAUGCAGCAGAUGACUCUGAGAUGAAUCGCACGGUCUCAAGGACUGAACCCUUUGACAUCAGAAGAUACAUUUCUGAAUCUGAGGAGGAGUAACUGACAGACUGAAAAAANUUAUUCUGGGAUAUAUUGAUACCCUGCUGUACAGUGAGAAGUUAUUGAUGAUCAUGAAGUUGCUAACAAUUUCAAGUUUCACUAAUACAGAAGAUGUUCGGUUCUACAAGAUUGGAUCUGGAUUAUGAGAGGAGAUCUGGCUUGGUAUGGGAUAUGGCACUGCACAAUAAUUACAACUUGUAAGUUCUAAACUUACAGUUCUCCUAGGAGGGAGGGGUUGCCCCGGGUGCUCUUGUAAAUUCAUGACAGGUGAGUACCUGAGGAUACCGCAUUUUAUUGAUGAAUUCUGAAUACUUUAGAUUUGGCACGGAAUAUGCUUUUGUUUCAGUCGGGGAAUUGAAUUUGAUGGUAUGGAAAGAACAUUGAGUUUUGCAGUAAGCCGAUGCUAUAUGUGAACGCUUUCGAGCUUAAGUUGAGCUUACUAAAAUGCUUUCCUCCACCAUCAACACUGGGAACCUAAAACUUUCUACAAGCUUUUUUAGAUUUCAAGCAUUGUCAGUGCAUCAAGGAAAAAACAAUUGCACUGUAAUAUUUAUUUCCAGCUUCUAAUUUGCUUAUAUCUCGAGCUGAUGUGCCCUCUAAAUUCGUAAAAGAGUCAGGAUCCAGAAGAUGGUAAUUUAUUUGGGCCUAAACUUAUAUUCGAAUGUAUAUUUUAUAAUUUUGGGAUUUAGUUGUGUUUUGAUUUGAGUCGGAAUCUUCAUCUGUGAAACGAUGUUCAGUUACAUUAAGGUCAUGAGCCAACCAAUGGAUUGAUCACCUGUUAUUUUAUGGACCAAUAACUCUGUUUUUCUCUCUCCAUUCCUUUUAAUUUGUCAUAGAAUGUUUUUUUUUUUUUUUGAAAGCCAAGACGGGCCCUUCAUAUUAAGGAAAAUCACCAGAAAACAACUCGCAAAGCCAGCGAGGAAAGUCAGCAACCCAACAGACUGGGCUCUGACAAGAACUUGCAAACUGCGCAAGACUAUGAGCAACAAUAUUCGCCUCUCUAUACAUAUGACUAACACCAAUAAGCAUAGACGAACGAGCUACCAUAAGAAUAUCCAAAAUAUCAUCCGGUAAGAAACACCCUCCUCUCCGGGCAAGCCAUCACCCUCACCGCCAUCAUAGAAUCCGUAUAAAUCUCAAUAGGAUAAAUAUCAUGCUCAAUACACCACGUAAUACCUGCUACCACUGCCAUAAUCUCCAUCAGCAAAGGAUUAGAACUCACCCGAGCAGAUUUUGCAGCUGCAAGCCGGACAUGCCCCAAAUGAUCGCGCACCACUACCCCUAUUCCAUAUUUUCGGCUCUGUGGAUCAAAAAGGGCAUCCACAUAACAUCUAAAGCACCCAGCCCGCGGAGGAAACCAGUAUCGUCGGCCAAGUUUCAAACCUAACAAAUUCUCCACCGAUAACAUGGGUGUUGCAACUUGGUAGCUCUCAAGCGCCGCUUGACAAUCAUCAAUAGACGGCAGUUGUUGUGGUUUGAUUUUGUCAUGUUUGACCUCACAAAUAAAGCACCAUAAUUUGUGAAGAAUCAUGCACCAAAGUGCAUACUCGUCCACCGUAAAAUGUUGUCGCACAAUCUCCGCUAAAUCAAUCAGAGAAAGCCCCUCUGCAUAUUUCAUCAUCCUCCAAAAGAUGGAUGUUUUCCACACCGAUUUCAGUAACGGACAAUAAAUAAGUCCAUGCUCUGUAAAAUCCCAUCGGCUAUGACAUUGUUCACACACACCAUCCACUGGCACUCUAUGAUAUCUCAAAUUAACCCCCGUAGGAAUGAUAUUAUUGAAUGCUCGCCACAUGAAAACCCUUACUUUCGGCGGAACAGAAAUAUUCCAUACAAGUCUCGACCAGCUCUUCCUCACUUGGUUACUUUGAUGCGGCGAACUGUCAAAAUACCCCAAGCUUAAAAGGUACGCUGUUUUGACAGUAAAUAAACCCCGUUGGUCACAACCCCAACAAAUAGUGUCAACCGAACCAAACUCCCCAACUGGCGUUUUCAGAAUUGCCUCCACUUCAUGAGGCCAGAAAAACUCACGAAGAAUCACCUCAUUCCAGGUUCUUCCUGGACCAACAAAGCUGCUCAACCUUCAGCGUUAAAUCAGUAUUGUGCACACGACCAAACACACGGCCCUUUGGCAACUCCUGCACCCACGCAUCAACGAACACCCUCACCUUCGAUCCAUCCCCAAUCCGCCACCUCAACCCUUGCUCCACCAGUGGCUUGCUCCACAUCAAAGACCGCCAAAUAUAAGAGGCAUUCCGUGUUGGUACAGCCUCCAUGAAGCCCUCAUGACGGUAGUAGCGUGCCUUAAAAACACGAGCCACAAGAGAUGAUGGCUUAGUAAUCAACCGCCAAGCUUGUUUUGCCACAAGAGCUUGAUUGAAGCACUUCAAGUUCCGGAAACCCAUUCCACCCCACUCCUUCGGUUUACAAACAUCCGCCCACUUCUUCCAGUGCACGCGUCGCUUAUCAUCCUUAUCACCCCACCAAAACCCCGCAGCAAGGCGGUUAAUCUCGUCACAAACCGAAUCCGGUAACGAAAACACUGCAUAGCAUAGGUUGGAAUAGCUUGAAUCACUGCCUUUAACAUCACUUCUUUGCCACCUCCCGAAAAAUCCCGCUGGUUCCAACUCAUAAGUUUUUUCUGGACCUUCUCUACAAGAUAACUAAACUGGAGCCUUUUCUGUCUCAAAGAGAAAGCAGGCAGUCCCAAGUAAUGUUGGUUGCCCUCACCUCCCUUAACACCCAAAAUCUGCUUCACCUCAUUCACCCGCUGCAUGGUAGUGUUUGGGCUAAAAGAAAUCGAAGAUUUAUCAAAAUUAAUCAGCUGCCCGGAAGCCUUCUCAUAUCUUCGAAUAAUAUCCCUAAUCGCCUCCGCCUCCCCACCAUUCGCGCCAAAGAAAAUCAAACUGUCAUCUGCAAAGAAAAGAUGUGAGAUGCUCAAUUGGCGAGGAAUAAUCGGAACCCCCAUUAUACGUCCACGCCGCUCAUAAUCAUUAAAAAAUGACGAGAAGCCCUGCGCGCAGAUUACAAACAAGAAAGGCGAUAGAGGAUCUCUUUGCCUCAGUCCACGAGUAGGAUUUACAGUUCCAUAAACCCUCCUAUUCAACAGGAAAGAAAAAGAAACCGACCUCACACAACGCAUAAUAAGAGUACAUAACCCAUCAAGAAACCCUAAUCUUCUCAUAACAGCCUCAAGAUAAUCCCAUUCAACUCGGUCAUAGGGUUUGCUCAUAUCAAGUUUAAGAGCAGAGAAACCCUUUUUACCUUUCUUUCGUGCACGCAACCAGUGUUGGCAUUCAAAACUUAUCAAAAUAUUAUCCGUGAUUUGUCGCCCUUUAAUAAAUGCGCUUUGCGCUUGAUCAAUCAAUCCAUCAAGAACCCGCCGCAGUCUAUUCACAAUAACUUUGGAGACAAUCUUAUAUGUGGUAUUGCACAUGCUUAUGGGCCGGAACUCCGACACCCACUCCGGCCUCUCCACUUUAGGAAUGAGGCCAAUAACAGUCGCAUUCCAAUCUUGUAUCUUAGCACCCUCGUUCAGGACAGAUAACACGUCCCUAGUGAUACAUGGGCCUACAGCUGGCCAGAAACGUUGGUAAAAACGAGCGCAAAAGCCAUCCGGUCCGGGAGCUUUUGUUGGGUGCAUAUCAAACACCGCACGCCUCACCUCAUUCUCAGUAUAGUGCUCAGCCAACAUAUCAUAAUCAGCCUGAGACAGCCGCUCCUCAAUCUUAGAACAAACAUCCUCAAUAUCCCUUCGACAAGGCCGAGAAGUAGAGAAAAGCUCUUGGAAGUAAUCUUUUAUAAUCUGUGCUUUAUCUUUCUCUCUAUCCCACACCACUCCCGCACUAUCAAUCAAGGUUUUAAUAGUGCCUCGUUUCUUGCGUUUAGAAGCCUGAAUAUGGAAAGCACGGGUGUUCCUAUCGCCAUUAGCCAGCCAGUUAACUCUUGCCCGUUGCUUCCAAUGACACGCCUCAAUCUCUACCGCCUCCUCAAUCUCACGAGAUAACUUGUGAAUAGCAUCAUCAUUAACUUUUCCACCAACCUCCUGCAUUAGCCGAUUACGCUCUUUCCGAAGUUCUUUAAUCCGUUUACUCAUUCCAUGAAACUUUUUCCCUGCCCACUUCUUCAAGAAAACUUCACAAUGCUUGAGCUUCGCCGGGAGCUCAACCACAUCUUGUAACGCCUCCCAUUCACAUAAAAAAUCGGGCACAAAAUCCUUAUCCAAAAACCAUUUUUCCUCGAAAUGAAAUCUGCCCUCUCCAUAACACGCGAUCUACUUGUUUGUCGCUUCAAGAGCUGUCAUAGAAUUUUUUUUAUUUUAUACUAUUACCGUUUGAAUUGUUUAAUAUAUGUNGAAUAAUUACAAUAAAGUAUCUCCAUUAUUAUUUGAUUUAAUUUUUUAUUGCAACUUUGCAAGUGAGCUCCACAACCACAAUGCAAAUCUGACAAUAAUACAAUAAAUAAAAUCAACAACUGACUAAAGAAAGCGAACAUCAAUUUUCAAAUGGAGAUUGUAGGGGUAGAUUUUUAAAAAACAAUAUAAAAAUAGUCCACAAAAAUAAAAAAAUAAAAAUUAGAUACUUACUAUUUUACCCUUCACAUAAAAAAUUUAAAACUAUUCACUGGCUGUGAAUUUAUUGAAUUGGUUGUGAAUUGAAGAAUACAUUAACAACAUAGACUCACCUCCACAAUAAUUGACAGCACGCAACCUCACAUAUUUGAUUAAAUUCACAAAAAAAAAAAAAAACAUCACUUAUAUUUUUCUAUUAUUAUCAAAUCGAUUUUAAUUUUUUUUUCUCCCAAUUUUGACGUGUUUUGCAUAAAAUUUUGAUUUUUCCAGUGACUGAUGAAAUUAAAAUUCGAUAUAUGCACCUCCGCGUAAGAAAUUAGAUCUGAAACAGAGCAAUUGAUUGUGGCGCAAGGUGAAGGCAACACGAGGCAAAUGCAGACAAGGUGUUCAUAUGAAAAUUUUCUUUCUCAAUUGGAUUUACCAUAACUCUUGUGGUCAGAAAGAAGUCCAUAUAGAUCUCUACUAGUGCAAUGUUGUGCUUAAUACAAACUGUUGUAGAUAUCUUGCCCCGCAAUCGAUUCUCCGUUCUCACGCGCCGGAGCCUUAUUUUAGAAUUUUUUUCCCGAAGCUCAGCUGCACACUAAUCCCUUGCGUAGACCACACACACAUUAGCUCACUGAUUGUUCGAGUUAGACGUGCUCUUUAAUUUCCUGCACAAAAGAAAAACACCAAGAGAAGAAGUUAGAAAGUGUAGCUGUAACAGGGAGCUAAAAUAAGAGGAGAUAGGGGAAAGGGGAAGCCUGGAAACGGAGCAGCAUCGGCUGUCCGGGAACGACGCAGGAGCAGCUGACGGAGAUGACACAGCAGCGGCUGUCUCCUCGGCUCAGAUCUCGGUCUCUCUCAAACCCAAAUGUAGUCCUCCUCCGGCAACUCCACUGCCAAGUCACCCAAUCUCACUCCGACUAACCCACACAGAGAUAGUUCAGAUCGGACGAAGAAGACACACAAGCACUAAGCUUGUUCACACUUCGACCAAGGCACGGAGAUGACAAGAGGUAUGGUGAAGUCACAGGCAAAGCUUCUCUCUUUCACACAGAAAACACAGAGAGAAGGAAGAAGGGAACAAGGAGGAAGGAGGCAGCUAGGGUUCCACAUUCAUCUCAAGGAGUGCAGCAGCUAGGGCUACAUUUUAACCAAGAAGAUGGGCUGCCAAUUGUGGACUGAGUGCGGGUAAUGGGCUGUCAGGAAUGGGCCUUGGUUUGGGCCAACAAUUUCAACAAUCUCCACCUUUGGCCCAACCGCGGUGGAGGGUGUUUAUCUUAAUUAUGACAUAAUCAAUCUUAAUAAUUAAUUAUUAAGUAUAUAUUGCAAAUUAAAUGUAAAUUUAUUGUAAGGAUUAAUGGACACUAAUUAAUAAUUGUAAAAUCUUUAUAUAUAUAAAAAGAAAGGUAAAUGUCAAUAAAUUUAAUUUGAAGGGUAAAAAUGGAAUAGAUCUUGGCUUUCUAAAUUUAUGAUUAAGUGGUUAUUAUCUUGUUAGGGAAAACUAAACAAAUAUAUAUUGAUUAGUGAGCCAACUUAUUGUAGUUGAGUGACGAUACUCUAACAAAUUCCCAACAAUUCUUUGGACUUGGUUUUUUAUAUACAUCAUUGUAAUAUAAAUCAAUAAGAAGAUAAGAGGAUUUAGUUGAUGUAUUAUUGUAGUACAUUAUUGUAAUAUAAAAUCACUCGGAAGAUAAGAGAAUUUUAAUUGAAGAAUUAUUGUCGUAGCCAUCAUGAUAAUCAUUAUCAAACUUAAAUUGAAUUAAGGUUUUUGGAGAUUAAGAAAACAACAAUUUGGCUAUCUCAAGAAUGACAGGUAGGCCUAUUUUCUACAAUGGUCAAAAAAUUCAAUAAUUAUAUUAGAGAGUAAACAAAGAUGAAAAAUGAUUUAUCUCAAUAACUUUUGUAAAAAGCUUCACAGCAUGGGGCAAUACUUUUUUGAAAAAUCAAGUACUAUAAAUAAACAAAUACAGAGAUAAGGAAAACGGGUAGCAUGCAAUAAUAGCACGUUUGGCUGCUGAAUUCGAACUUUUUAUUAUUAUUAUUAUUAUUAUUUAUAAAUUACACGAGUAAAAUAAAAAAUUUAAAGAUCACACCACGGUAACUCGAACCCAAAACUUCACGUCCUGAGGGUUUAAAUGAUUCAAACCUUUUUCAAGUUAGGGAAUGGGGGUUGAGAUUCAUACUCUGUUCUUUUAGCUUACAAAGUGGAAGAAUAUCAAUGAGUUACAACUCUUAUCCAACCGUACAUAAGUUUUUCACCUCGUAAAAGUCGCAAUCGAAGCUUUCGGAACCAUUUCAACUGACCAUCAAAUGGUACAAGUCAUUUACAAAACAAGAGGGCAAGCAAAGAUUGAGAUUACUAGCACAGGAUUCAUAAACUAUAAUGUCUACAUAACCCAACAUCCAAAGGAGAUUCGAAGAUUGUAAGAUUAUAGCUUUCAAGGAAGAAUCAUAUCAACAGUAUUUACUUUACUCGUCUGCUCCAGUUUCUUUCCGGUGAGAUCAUGGAAGUAGUAAGUUAACUUCAAACGUCCAAUCUCCAAUGCCCAAACAAUAAGAUUAGAAUUGGAGACACCAAAUGCGAUUCGGGCUCUCUACAACACAAAAUUAAGCCAGAUCCUCCUCGUGAAGUCAUUUCUAUUGUUUGGAACUAGGUGAUGGUCCUUUUGUAACAUUCUCGGGCAUGGCUGAGCCAUUGCCCGACUCUUGUGCAAUGCCAUUUGCUUCUUCCGUGUUCAUAUCAUUAAAACUUCGUUUCUUGGAUGAUGAAGGACUAACCUCCUUGUCUUUCGUUGGCUGUGCUUCACAGCUAGAUGUAGGAAACAAUGGAGGUUCACAACCGCUUAGUUGACAGAAAACUCUCUCGACAGUGUCAUUGAUCUCCUUCCCCAAGCCAUUUUGAUCCAAGAUCAAGUCCCAAACUGAUCUAGAAGCCUUCUCAAGUACAGGAGCCCUGCAUAUAUUUGCCAACCACAUCAACUCUUACAUAUUGUGUUCUGGUUCCCAAGAAUCAAACUACGAGACAUACCACUUUGCAUAUGCUUUGUCAUAAUAAAGCAUCAUGCUGAAUCUGGAUAGUGCAAGCUGAAAAUCCAUUGACAAUGCUAAACUUCAAUGUAUUGAAUGGCAGGAAGUAGCUAGCUUACAUGCAAGCCUUCUAGAGAUACAAACCCGAGAUAAAGGAGGAUUUAGAGAACAAAAAAUAGUUGCUCUUAAACAAGCAAUUAAAGUUCCAUUUGCCUUAGACCUGAUUGUUCUAAAUUCUCGAUCAUCCUAAAAGUCAUAUGAGGAAAAUAACUUGCCCAUAAUGAUAAGGCAACACACUAUAGACACUAAAAUUAGCGUGGUUACAAUUUUUUUUUAUUAUUAAAACUUCAAAACACUCAUGGAAUAAUUACAUAAUACAAAAAAAUUGUGACGAGUACUUAUAACUUACUCAAGCUCUUGUCGAAGUGAAUCAAACAAUUCUCGCUUUGUCUGUUUUUCAGCACCAGGAGUAUUGAGAACCUUACUCUGCUCCACCAUUUUUAUUGUGUUACUCUUUAGCUCCUCCUGCAAGAAAUCCAGCACAAUGACUUUUUUGUUUUUAUGGAUCAACACUUCAUAAUACAGUGAGAUAAGCCAAGAAUUUCUAUGCCCAUGAAACAAAAUAACCAACCAUCGAAACAUCCGCGAGAACUGAAACAAGAAGAUUUAUUAGUAGGACACUUGUAAAAUGGAAGGUGUGUGGCAUGCAAAUGAUAUCUCAACAGUUCAUUAAGUAUGUUGACAACCACUACGUCACAAGCUCAUGCCACUUUGGAGUCAGGCAACUGAAGAAAUAUUCUUUGUUGGAAAUAGAUCCAUUAAUUUCUUCAUAAGUUGAAAGACAAAAAGGAAGACAAAAUAUAGAAAAUGAAAGAUAAAAGACUUUUGUGAAAUAACUGACAAGACACGGGAGCUCCACAUUCUCUAGCUUAAGUGCAAAAGGGGUGGGGAACAAAAUCAGGAGAUAAAGAAAAUUAUGCAUAUCAGUCGUCCUCCAUAUGUUACAUGCAUACAAGCAAAACAUACAAAUUAUUGGAACGAAGGAUGCACAUAAAAUCGGUCAAAUAACAGUUAAUUUCAACUUAACUUUACACCACAAGCUUCUUGGGAUAUAUUCUUUUAUCAUCAGCAUGGUAACAAUGCAUGAUAAACUAAUAGAAGCGCCAAUUACAAAACAUCAUCCCUCAAAUCACAAAAAAUUACAUGCACAAAAUCUCACAUUGGCUUUAAGCUGGUUGAUUAUCUUCAACCGGAUGGCGUCGAUAGUUCCAUCGUUCAUGAGCGUUUCCAGCACAUCCUCCGGUGUUAUCACCGGCGAUGCCAUCUCGUGAGGCCUUCUUUGGGGAUUUCGAAAUUAUCAAUUUUUGUGAAUUUCGUUGAGCUCAGCUGAAUUUGGAGAUUAUUAUGUAGAAACUAUUGCAAACACCACCAAGAUGAGGAUUCUGCAGAAGCUAUUGCAAGCACAAUCAAGAUGAGGAAGAUAACCAAGUCUACUACUCUUGGGAAGCAGUGCAGAAAGUUUCAAUCAAGUGAGGGUAAGUUCUUAGAACUUUUUAGAAACUUCUCAAAAUUUGCAUACUAAAAACUUAAAAUAAUAAAAAUGUGUGUUCUAGAUCUUAGAUUCGUAGCUAUUCUUUACUGCAUAUAGAUCACAAAAAUAUCCAUGGUUAUUAACUUUAUAAUAUUUGCUUCUGCAUUAGGCUUUACCCUUAAAACAUAGAUAAUACCUUCUACUUCAUAAAUGUCUAUGAUCAAUUUCUUACUUUAGGUUUUAUAUAAUACGAAAAUCCAACAAUUAAAUCGAAACUCAGCCCCCAUUAGUUACUACCCACUGCCAAAUUGAAAUAAAUCCAACAAUUAGAAUCCUACCUGGCGCGCAACUGGCGGACUGCUCUGGUCGCGACGGGCGGGGCGGCGUGACGGAGGCUGAAGGCGGUGCGACGGGGUCUGGUCGCGCCUCAGAGGACUGCAGCGAAUCGAAGCGAGAGAUGGAGGGUCUGUGAAAUUAGGAUUUGGGAAUUUUGGGGGAGAAAGAAUCGGUGUGGAGAUGGGAGGGGGCAGAUCGCGGCGGGGGAAGGCAGCAAGGUGGUCCGACGAAGCAGAUCCCGGCGGUGGGAGGGGUGGGGUGCGCGGUGGUGUAGAUUGCGGCGGUGGGGCAGAGAAGAAUCGUGAGAGACGGGAGAAAAGGGAAUUGAUUUUAUGUUUUGGGAAGGAGUUAUUGCCGAAAAAUACAUGUAGUUCGUCAAUUUUCUGGUUUAUAACAUGACUUUAUAAUCUGACCAGAAAAUACAUCAAUUUUCAAUUUAAUCGCAAUUAUAACAUGACUUUAUAGUCUGACAAGAAAAUUCACCAAGUUUCAAUUUAUUCUCAAUUAUAACAUGACCUUAUUUAGAUUAUUUUUCAUCAUAGAUGUAUUAAUAUUAAUUGUUUUAUAUUAAAUUGUUAUGUAUAAAAUUUUGUAAUUAAUUGAUUAAUUUUUAUAAAAAUUAGUUAGAUGAUUAAUUAUUUAUAUAUAUAUAUAUAUAUAUAUAUAUAUAUAAUUGUAAUUUAACAUGCAAUAAAAAAUUUCGCUAAUCAAUAUUUUUUAGUAACAACAACAUCAACAUACAUUAAUAAGGUCAACUAUAUGGUUCAUAAUUUUAAAAUUAAAUUCAGAUUUUUUAUAUAAUAAUAAUAAAAAAUAAAAAUAAAUAUACUACUUAUAGCUCAUAUGUAUUUAUCCUUUUAGAAAUUUAAAUUGAAUUGUUAUUUUGUUUAUUAGUAUUAAAGAACUAAAAAUACAUAUGCAUAUAGUAUACAAGUACUUGCGCAAUACUCCCUCCGACCCAUAUAUAUAGUGUUGUUUUAUUUUUUUCGGAUGUCUCAUUUAUAUAGGUUUAUUUUCAUAUAAAGUAAUUUUUUUCACUCAUUUACUAUUAUAUCCCUGUUUAAUUCUUUAAUUUACUCUAACUUUAAUUCAUCAUUAAAUAAUAAAUAUGGGCAUAUUAGGAAGUUUACUUAUAUAUUUUAUUUUCAAUGAUUUUUCUUAAUACAUGUGCAAAUUUCAAUCAGCUUAUAUAUACAGGACAAAGAGAGUAUAAUUAUAUAAAUGUAUACAAAAUAUAAGAUACAUAUAUUAUAAUAUAUAAAAGUUAAAACAUGAAUUUUUCUUUAUAUUCAUUGUUAAUUUGUUAAUUGAUAUAAACUUGUCAUAUAUUCAAAAUUUUCUUCACUUUAUAUAAAAAAAGGAUUAAAAAAAUAUAAAUCAUUGAGCGAGUUUGGCUUGAUGUAUCUAAUGGGAUUGGGCGGGGCUUCAAAAAUUUCAGUCCAAUCAAAUCCAAGUUUGGUUAGUACGGUGGACCAACUCGAUCAUUUGAAUUAACAUUCAUAUUAUAGUUUAUAUAAAAUAAUUAAAAUAUAAACAUAAAUAAAUAUGUAUUAAUGAUGUGGAUGAUAUUGUGAGUUUUGUUUCUCCCUCAGAAAGUGCUCAAGAUAAAAAUUGAAACCCAUUAAGGACCCAAAGAGAUGUUAUGCCCAUUAAGGACCCAAAGUGAUGUUAUUUAUCUUCCUACUAAAUGUUGUUAUCGCGUUACUAACUUCAGAUCUAAAUAAUACGAUGGCAAAGAAAAAUGAGCAAAAUUCGUAUUAAUAGUCAAAGUCAACGACUAAAUGAACAAAUUGGAGGGAAUUAUUUGCGGAUGAUCAUCAAGUGCAAAGGUGAGUAAACAUGGUCACAACACGACAAAUGAGUCAUUGUCAACUUGAACACAUGGAAUAUCUUAUUGGCCCUCAAGGCAAUCGGCUAACAGAAAUGUGUUAUUAGAAGAAUCGAUCAUUUUGCCAACUCUAAUUUGAUGAAUAGACAUUCAUAUAAUAGUUUAUAUGAAAAAGUUAAAAACAAGCAGAAACAAAUAAGCAUUAGAUUUUUAUAUCCAUAAAAAUAGCAUAAUAUCACAAAUAUACUUCACUAGAUAAUAAUAAUAAUAAUAAUAAUAAUAAUAAUAAUAAUAAUAAUAAUAAUAAUAAUAAUAAUAGCGCAACUAAAGUACCGCAUUAUAAUAUAGUGUGACAUUAUAGUCAGCAAUAUUUAAAAAUAUAGAUCUAAGGCAGGGUUGUAAUCUACUAAAAAGUGCUCACAUGUUUGUGGUACUGAAAAAAAAAUUAAUUUUGAACACAAUAAAAGUGCGUUUGCAAAAUGAAGAACCUUCAACAAGAAUAAGCCACGCACACCAGGUGUUUGACAAAACUCCAAGCUGAGAACCUGCACAUAAAACAAACAAAGAACAAGAAGCACUGCAUCGUGGUGAAAACCAUUACCCUGAAAACAAGAUUCGGCUGGCAACGAGGUGCACGCCCUACGUGCCGAUUCGUUCCCCAAGGUUAACACAAGUUCCACCCAAAGCACACACCUCGUGCUUAAGAUGGAUUUGAGAAACAGAGAACCAAUGCCAAAAGGAAAAGAAAGAUGCAGUUACAAUCUCUUUUUCUGAGAGAAGAAGAUGAACACUACACUUCUCCCUCAACUCACCGGAAAUCAAAGUUUAAAAAGAGGAAGAAGAAGACGUGUUCCAGUGACGUUGAGGAAAAAUCUCAACUGUCGAAGACCUAUUCAGCUAGGGUAAAAAAAGCACAACUAGGGACUAGGCCAAGAAACCAAGUCCAAUGGGCCACAUACUUAACCAAAAACCAUUAAGCAAUAACAGCCCAAACCAGAGAAAUAGGCACAAAAGAUAAUUUAUCUGACAAACUUCUCUAGGCUGCUUAGAGGUGCACAACAAACCUACUAAUCCAACUGAAUUGGUUUUAACACUUAGCACACUCCGACACAGUUAACUCCAAUCAGCUAAUGCUAAGGUAAUUGGAGCCAGAACCUUUAAGCUGUACUCUCUCUUGGUUUGACGGUACCAAGGUAACCUACCUAGUUUAGUUUUCUGGUACUAAACAACAACCACUUGGCUUAUCAGGUGCCAAGGGACCUAACAAUUUAGUUUUCUGGCACUAAACUACGACCACUCAAACUCACUUUUCUCUCGGUUGAAAAGGGGGUUUGAACUCUUCCAACUAAGAUUACAGAGAACAGACUCUCGUGUAAUCCAUUUUAGGCUUAAGAUAAAACAAGAAAUGCCUAGACAAAUAAGAGAGUUUAGGUAAUCAGCUAGACUGAUUUUACAAUGUGGUUUACUCUCUUCUUCGAUUCGAAAUCUAUCCAUGGAAUUGCUAGCUCUUUACUCCGGCAGAGCUUCAGCAUAUGUCUUUGAAUCGGUGAAGAUUGCAGCUGAUCCUCAAGCUCUAUUUAUAGGCGAAGUCUUGAAUAGAUCCGUUGGAGAAAUGGUCUUCAGGAUUUCUGCCGUUGUGAGAGGAUGUUGCUUCUUGGGCCGAGGUGGCAAUCUUCGGAUACUCCUAUUGACAGCAUUUGAAUUGUCUUGUCCUUGGAGUAUAGUGCUUCUGCAUCUUUACACGUAAAGGAAAACUCUCGUACUUGCAAGGAUGAUCUUCAAAUCUUUGGCAUUUAAUUUUGUUGUACUUAAGCAUUAAAUGCAGCGUGUCCGGUACUCUUCUCUUUAGUUAGAUGCAGAAUAUCGACUGGUAUUUGAGAUGUCUUUAGUUCAAUGCUGAUGUUGAGUUGUGUGAUCAUCUACGACUGAUGACUGAAGACUUCCAGUCGAGGUGUGUCCUUUCAGUGAGGCGUGCUUCAGUUGAGCUGUCUUUGAUCUUUAGUCUUUGGUUCCUUGUCCACUUGAUCUAAAGUCUUAGUAACUCUAGUCAAGGCCUGUGAGAACUGAAACCUUUGGACCUGCAAUUGAGACAAAGACAUGAGAAGCAAACUAAUGGUUUUGGUGUCAUCAAAAUUGGUUGGAUAUCUUUUGUGUCCCAACAAUUUUCCCCUUUUUGAUGUUGCAAAAACCACAUAACCAGAGAUAAAAUAAAAGCCAGAGAGAUGCAGUAAGGGUAUGUUGGGAACUUAAUGAAAUAUCAUAAUCUUAGUUUUGAUGAUACCAAAAUCAAUAAAUUUCACUUGUAAUAAACUAGAGCUGUUCGAACUCAAGUGUUAGAGUUCUUUUUCUAGUUUAGUUGUUGUUCUGAAUACUGAAGAUUGAAACCGGGUGACUGAAGACUGAAGUUGCCGACUCAAAUACAUAAGCUGAAAUGCUGCCAAAUUUGUCACUCAGCAUUCAAAGCCACUUCAAAGUUUGAAUCGAAGAAGAGAAUCACAAAGCCAAAAAUCACUUCAAGAAUCAAGGUAAAGUCAAAUACUGAUAUUUGACAAACCAGUCCAAGAAUCAGUUACGACUGAUUAAGGUAAAGUCUGAAGUUGCCGACUGAUGUGAUGAUUAAGGUAAAGUCAAAUACUGAUAUUUGACUAACCAGUCCAAGAAUCAGCUACGAUUGAUUACUUAAUGCAAGCCACGUGGAUUCAGCGGACUGAUACUAAAGUCAAGUAUUAGUUAAACAUUCUUCUUCGGACUGAAGAUCCAAAGCUUAAAGAAAGCCACGCACUCCAGAAGUACAGCCGCAUUAAAUACAGAGAUCUCAGGAUCGUCCUUUCUCUGCAGAGGCCACUCCUUUUGGUGACUACCUUUCAGAGAUGUCCUAUCUCUUGCUCUUCAAAGUAGCCGUUCUCACCAAACAAAGGAACUUUAAAGAUUGAAGCCUCAGCCCAAGUUCAAAUUACUCUCUAACGGAAGAAUUCUUGAAGACCAUUUUAGCCAACGGAUAUAUUCAAGACGUCUCCUAUAAAUAGAGCUCGAGGAUCACUUCAAUCUUCACCGAUUCAAAUACAUAAGCUGAAAUGCUGCCGAAUUCGUCACUCAGCAUUCAAAGCCAUUUCAAUGUUUGAAUCGAAGAAGAGAAUCACAAAGCCAAAAAUCAGUCACUGCUGAUUACAUACAUUCUCUUAGAACUUAGGCAAAUAUUGUAUAUCCAAAGCCUAGGUAUAACUGAUUACAGAGAACCUGUUCUUUGUAAUCUAGUUGGCAAGUUUUCGAACCUCUUUUCAACCGACCGAAUUGUGAGUUUGAGUUGUAAGGAGUUUAGACCAGUGUUUUGACUCCGAGAGAUCUUAGUCUUUGCGGAAAGGCAUAGUUUUUGUCUCAGUGAAGCUAAGAGUGAGAAAUCCAACCCAGUGUGUUGGUAUUGAAGAUAGGAUCUACAGUUGUCUAGGUUUGCUGUGCACCCGUAAGCACAUGCCCAGUGAAGUUGUCAGUCUGAUCAACUGACCGUGGAUGUAGGAAAAGUUUUCCGAACCACGUAAAAAUCUCUGUGCUAUUUACAGCUUUCAGUAUUUAUCUUCUUACUUGUGUUCAAACCUUCUCCAACUGAAAACUGAUUAACUGCAAAGAUAAACUUAAUUUCUGACAACGUGAUUAAUCUCACAGGCUAUUUCGAAACAAUAGUUUUCCGUUGCGUGUGUUAUUAGUCUAACUGAUUUAUCUUUGGAUAGUCAGUAAGAUUCAUAACAUCUCUCUGUUCAACAAACUUGACUGAAGCUUUACGUGUAUUAGUUAAAGUCUCAGACUUAACUGAUAACUCCUUACUGAAGAGUAUUCAGUAUCAGUCAUCAACCUAAACUUUACUAAACUCUUUUAACUGAAAAAGGUUGUGUCAGUUUGUGUUCCAAGUUUCAUUUUAAAAAAUAGCCUAUAGGUGUAUCCCCCCAUACACCUAUUCGAGACCCUCCGGACCUAACAAUUGGUAUCAGAGCAGGUUGUUCGCAAGAACAAUUUUGCUUUGUCAAUGUUCUAACUGAACUAGUUCCUACUUGAAAGGGUUGUCAAGAGUUUUCAAAGGUUUUUCAAAAACUUGUGAUUUCUUCUCUGUGCUACGUGAUUCUUCUAUGUUUUCUCUCUUCUUUGCUAUGUCUUCUGAUCCCUGCAGUUCAUCCUCUCCUCCUCACUCCGAAUGAAAUGAAGACAAGCAGCUUGAUAAAGGAAAGAUAAUUGUUAAAGAAGAACUUGAAGAUUCAAGCUCAUCAUCAGACUCCACUACUUCAGAACAAGAUCUUCUUGAAAUCAAAGAAGUUGAACAAGCUUUAGCUCUCUACAGUGAUCAAAUGAUGAUUCUUGAGAAUGAACUUGUGCGGAAACAAAGAUUGGAAAUAUCCAUCGCCAAGACAGCCUCAAAGAUGAAGGAAAUCUCCAUGAUCAUAGUUGAAGAAGAAGAUGAAGUAGAACUAGCUAUUGAGUAUGCCAGAUUGGAGAGUUUGAUGCAGUCUAGUCAGAAUGAGAGAGAUAAACUCAUCCAACUUCUCAGAGACGUAGAUGCAAAUCUCAUUUGGACGAGAAGAGAACUUGACAUGGCAUUGAUCAAAAUGUCAAAUACGAGAGUCAAGAAAAAUGAAUGGAUUGCAUUCGGCAUGAAUGAAGUCAAAGUAAAACUCUUUCCAUCCAUUUCAAGAGAAGAUUAUCUUGUAAUAAAACAAAUUGAAGACGACAAGGGAAAGAGAACUCUGACUGCAAGUUUCUCACUGACGACUGAGCAUCAAGAAACUCUAACUGAUGGGUCCUCAUCACAAGAAAGAAAAUCAGUCAUUUAUAUUUCCCUACCUUAACCAAUGUCCCUACAUUAUAACCCAAAGAAAAAGACCUUUUUGAUCUUAGUCCUGGCAUACUUUUAGUGAUGGAGAUUGUAGACGAUUGGCAAGCCUAUGGUAAGUGAUCUGCAUUGCAUUGAAUUCGAUGAGAGCAUACACGUCCUAUUCCAUCAAAUUGAGAGUUGAGUGAUACACAUACCUUGUGAGAUUUAAUUGUUUGGAAUGUCAACGUGGAUUUUGCUAUUGGUUGUGUUUAUUGGUGAAUUUUGUGCUUAAUUAUUGAGGAUUUGAGAAUUCUAUCAUUCUUUAUUUUUCGGAGGCAUCGAUGAGCUAGAUUUCUUACCCAUUCGUGUUAUUGAUUUUAUUCUUCUCAUUAUUCGAGGACGAACAAUGAUUUAAGUUUGGGGGAGUUGAUAACACUCAUGUUUCCAUUGUUUUUAUUUCAUAUGAUGUCAAUUUUAUAGGAAAUUGAGUGUUGAUGAUUGUUUUGUGCUUAAUUGCUUUUAUUGUGAAAAUGUCUUACUCGACUUUGAAGAAUUUACAUAUAGUUCGAAUUUGGACUGUUGAUCUUAAUGAAAGUUGUAGUUCAUCUCGAUACGAGUUCGUAGGCGCAAACGGUUCGCAAAUCCGAGUUCGGACGAGAAAGAUAUGGCCGAAACAAGAAAGUCGCGCGCAGCAGUGAAUAGUGCCCGACGGGAAUUUCCGAAUUUUCGGGAUUUUGCGGGAUUUUCGGAUUUUAUCAGUAUUUUCGAGCUCUAUACUGUAUUUAUCCCCUGUGCCUAUAUAUAGGUCCUCUUUUGACCUAUUCAGGGUUCCCAGCUUUAGUUUUUCAGUUCCCAACAUUCAUAUUUCAGUUUUAUAGCUUUAGAACUUUUUAGCUUUCCAGUUUUCAAGGCUUGGAUCAAGAUUGAAGAUUCAAGCCGCUACAAUCGUUUUAAUUCGGUUUUUAUACAAUUUGUUUUUACAAUUGCGUUCAAUUUAAUUAUGUUUAUGUUUGAUUUUAUUAUGUCUGGCUAGUUCUUUUAUUCUGAACCUAGGGUUUGUAUAUAGCUGAUUGAUUAUGUGUUUUUGAUUUAUUGAUAUCAAUUUGCCCUCCAACUUAUGAUUCAUGAUUCCUGGUGCUUAAUUUCUUGUGAAUUAUCUGAUCAAUGAUUUGCAUGUUUAGCUAUUCGGUUUGAGACCUAGCGGAGAUAACUGUUUAGCAGAUUCAGGAAUGUAUGAUAUGAUUUUAACCUUGAGACCUAGCGGAGAUAGGUGGAUCAUAGGGAGCUAUUCUUAGGAGCUAUUGGGAGUUAGUAGAUUUUCUUGAGACCUAACGGAGAUAGAUAAUUUACUAAUCUACGAUCGUUGCUACUCUAGCGAGAGUGAUUGAUUAAUUAAGUGAUCUCUCAUCAUAACUGGAUUAAAUUGGUACAUAGGAUUAAUAGAUUAAUUACAUAGAUUUAGUUAAUGAAUUUACUGCCCUAGGAUCAGUUGUCUUUUAUUAAUUGAGUUUUCUAUCCUAUUUUAUUUGGUUUGUUUUGAUUUAAGUUAUCUACUUCAUUCUUUUUUGUGAUUGCCUGAAUAUUACUAGGGUUUAGUUAGGAUUACUUAAGGUGAUUCGUCAUAAUAGUCCCUGUGGAUACGAUACUCGAUUGUUGUUUAUACUACGAUUACACCGUUUAGUUGCAGUAUUUUUUAUUGCUAAUAAAUUAGUGAUCAGAGAUACAUUCUUAGUUUUUUGCAGAAACCCUCUAAUCUACUCACAAUGGAAAAAUCUUCCACAUCCGUCAAACAACAAUCUGUAUGUUUUGAAGCUUCAAUCACUCAUGAAGCAUUUCUGAAUCUAAAAGAGCACGACAAGAUUAAUGAAAUCUUGAGUCGACAUGGUUGGAUCAACUUCCUGCACAAAGUGCCAGACUUCUUACUCGACGAACAGACCAUCAAGAAAUUCUACAACACCAUAAAGAUAGAUGAAUCAACUGGAGACUACACAGCAGAAAUCGACAUCUUCACCACAGAAGAUUUCACUGACUCGAUGAAAUUUGUCGUCAACAUCUCAAAAGCAGCAAGAGAAUUAUUCCAUCUACUAGCUGAAGGUCCUGCUCCAACCUUCUCGGACGAGGAAGCCACCAGACUCAACAAAGCCCUGAAAGAUGAAGCCACUUUCAAUACAAUAUCAAGAAUGUCUUGAGCAUGUCAAGACUCCACCCUCACCUCAGACAGAUCGUAAAGAUGAUCAAGAGAUGUUGGUUUGGAAUUCUCGGAUCGCAAGAUCACCUAUCAAGACCUCACAAACUUGUGCUGAUUGCGCUCUUACAAGAUGGUCCCUACAAUUGGGAAAAAAGUGUAUCUUCGAGUCCUAGCAGAAGAAAAAUGUGAAACUCACUCUUCCAAAUACUUAAGACAAGGAACAAGAGUGUCGUCAAUAAUCUUACACAGCACCAAGUGGAUUUAGUGCUACUAGAAGAAUACCACCGAAGUUUUCUCAUCCAUCUACCUGUUCGAAGAUCAGAAGAGCUCUACCAAAGCUCCUCCCACUGUGAUCAGGGAAAGUCUUAUUUCGUCAACUGGUGUUUUCAGCUGAACAAGAAGCUCGUCAAGAAAAAUUCAUGUUGGUCUUAAAGGUCCAAUAGAAUUUGACCUUGUUACUCCGAGUACUACGACUGGUGUUCCACCGAGAGCAACUCCUGAGAAAACUCUUGUCGAUUCAUCCAUUCCAUUCGACGAAUCUUUUCAACCACCUUUGAAGUCCCCAGAACCACAUUCACCAACUCAAGAAGAACAAGUUCCUCCUGAACCACAAGUCAAUUAGGAAGAAGAAAAACCUUUCCAAGGACCACUCCCUCCCCUGUUAGGAUAUUUUCAGUUCUGCGCUGAAACUUUCCAAGAAAAGGUCACUUUCACGGAUCUUGAUGCUCCUUCCUCCUCAACCGCUACACCAACUACAGAGCUUAGGAACUACUUCCUGAAGCUUGCACAACAUAGUGUCAACGUCACUCUUCCUUCAAUCCUAGCCGAGAAACAUCCUGAUGCAUAUCAGGAUCUGGUCAGAUACCUUUUCUACACCUUCGUCAAGACAGCUCCCAAAUCCUAAUUUCAAGGGAUUGAAGAAAUGAUGACGGUCUCUAAGUUUGAAUCCUUAGAGGCUGAUAUCUUUGAGAAAUUCAACGUCUCAAACCUGUGGGAUGCCAUCCACGACUGGGUGCCAAACUUCAGGCAAUACCUUCUUGCCAGAGGGCUGCUCAACAUUCCUAUCAACGAAGAGGAAAUUCCUUCAGAGUCACCUAGGGGUGUAAACAAACCAAGCCGCUCGCGAACUAUUUGGAGCUCGGCUCGAAAAAAGCUCGUUCAAAUUCGUUUAGGUAAGCUCGAUAAAUAAACAAACCAAACUUGAGCUUAGUAGUAUUCGGCUCGUUAGCUCGUGAACAUGUUUGUCAAGUGAUUCAGCUUGAAAAAUAUAAAUUAUUAGUAGAUACAACUUAUAUUUAUCCACUAAAAUUAAUAAUAAUUGUAUUAAAUCUCUAAUUAAUUUUAUUUGUCAUAAGAAAAUAUUUAAUGUAUUUAUUAUUUUGAAUAAAAUAAUUUAUUUUUAAAAUAAAAUAAUCAAUAUUUUGAAUAUAAAUAUAAAUUUAGAAAGUUCGUAUAGGCUCGAUUAGGCUCGUGAGCCGCUUGUGAACCUCAAAGUAUUCGGUAAGUAAAGUUCGAGAUUCGGUUCGAUACUAAACAAACCAAACUUGAACACACCACUAUUCGGUUCGGCUUGGUUCGAUUACACCUCAGUCACCACAUGCACUUGAUGGCAUCCGAACAGAACAAAGGAAUGAAGAGACACCAACUGCACAACUCACUCAACUGAUGCAGAGAUUCAACUAAUGAAGAUGAAGCCUGAAGCUCAAGAGAUGGAGAUUGCCGACCUCAAGGUUCAGUUUGCCUUUCUCGAGUCAGCAGUAAUGAAUCUGUAACAUCAGAGUGGAUAACAAGAAAUGGAUGCAGCUACAACUGAAAUGAAAGAACGAAAUGUGGAAAGCGAAAAGAAGAAAGAGAAAGAAGAAACAGAGACUGGAAAGAAUUCUGAAGACAGGACUAGCAAAAGACUUCGCAUUGAUUAAGUUCAGGUGAAGUGUUACAGGGUGAAGAAAGUCAAGUUUUGCUUACUAUCUGUGAAUGUAAGUUUAGUGAAAAGAAUUUGUUAGAAUUAUUUUCGAAGAAGUUCUAUAGUUUUCGCGUGUUUCCUAUCGCGUUUUGUUAUGUUUUGGCAAUUGACAUCUUAUAGUUUGUAACUGACAAAUUAUCAAUUAUUGAUUCACCCUUGAAUGAAUUGAUUCUCUCUAUCGAUAGACAAAUGCUCAUUGUCUCAUUCAUGAUUGGUGUUUGCUUUGUUGAGAUUAGUUUUGAGAAUUGUAAUGAUUAUAUUUUUGAGGGGGAACGAAACUCAACUGUUCAGUUGAAGUCGUGCAAUUGACUGAUUACAACUAUCAGUCAACAAGUGAGUAACUUAACCUUUGUUGUGUAUUAAAAGGAAUACUUCAGUUAAAUCAGCUAUAAUUCUUCUCUUUCAUAAUCUCUGUCGAUUAACUGAUAUGUUUACCUCUCAACUGAUUGUUGGGAACUAAAACUGGAACAUUCUUACUGGACAAGUCUUAUUCAAAAUUGCAUCUCAUAAUUUACUUUAACUUGUCUCGCCCUUGCUAUAAUUACAUAAACAGUCAUUUCCAUCCUAGAGAUCAUGCCAAAUAUUAUUUAUCUUUUAAAUCUCUUAUUUUAAGAAGUUUCUCUGACGGGAAUUUAUUGCAUAUUUCAAAAAUCAUUAAAUUCAACUUGGCGCGCGGAUUUCAAACCAUCAUUGUCUUUUCAAAUGCCCUAAGUAACUAUUCAUCUUCCACGAUCACACGACAUCAUUGCUUUCUCUCUCUUCUCACCAACUCCUUUGUCCUCUCUCUCUCUCUCUCUCUCUCUUGCAUACAGACUAAUCCCCUGCUCCACAGCCUGGCAUUUAAUGUUGUUGUACUGGAGCAUUAAAUGCAACGUGUCCGGUACUCUUCUCUUCAGUUAGAUGCAGAGUGUCGACUGUUAUUUGAGAUGUCUUCAGUUCAAUGCUGAUGUUGAGUUGUGUGAUCAUCUACGAUUGAUGACUGAAGACUUCCAGUCGAGGUAUGUCCUUUCAGUGAGGCGUGCUUCAGUUGAGUUGUCUUUGAUCUUCAGUCUUUGGUUCCUUGUCCACUUGAUCUAACGUCUUGGUAACUCUAGUCAAGGCCUGUGAGAACUGAAACCUUUGGACCUGCAAUUGAGACAAAGACAGGAGAAGCAAACUAAUGGUUUUGGUGUCAUCAAAACUGGUUGGAUAUCUUUUGUGUCCCAACAGUAGGGAUAUAGGAGCUGAAGAAUCCCCCCCACAUAGGAAGCUCUGCAAAUAGAUUUCUCAACCAAUCUACUUCUUGACCUGCUAACUCAAGUGCAAUUAAUUAUGAUUCCAUAGUAGAGUUAGCUACACACGAUUGCUUAGCAGACUUACAAGAAAUAGCUCCACCUCCAAAAGUAUAUACAUAACCACUGGUAGAGCACACUUCAUCAUUAUCAAACACCCAAUUAGCAUCACAAAAACCCUCUAAAACAGCAGGACCAUAAUCUCGUUUUCAGAUUGUUGGCAAAGAGCUUUGUGAAGCUCUCUUGAAAGUUGGUGUUGGAAACUUAGUGAAAUAUCCUAUUCCUUGUUUUGAUGAUACUAAAAUCAUUAGGUUUCCUUUGUAAUAGACUAGAACUACUCAAACUCAAGUGUUAGAGUUCUUUUUCUAGUUUAGUUGCUGUUCUGAAGACUGAAGAACGAAGGACUGAAGACUGAAGACUGAAGUUGCCGACUGAAGCAUAAGUCGAAGAAUCAGUUUUAACUGAUUACUUAAUGCGAGCCACGUGGAAUCAGUGGACUGAUACUAAAGUCAAGUAUCAGUUAAACAUUCUUCCUCGCACUGAACCUCCAACGUUCAAAGGAAGCCACGCACUUCAGAAGUACAGCCGCAUUAAAUGCAGAGAUCUCAGGAUCUUCCUUUCUCUGCAGAGGCCAUUCCUCUUUGGUGAUUACCUUUUCAGAGAUGUCACAUCUCCUGCUCUUCAAAGUAGUCGUUCUCACCAAACAAGGAACUUCGAAGAUUGAAGCCUCAGCCCAAGUUUGAAUUACUCUCUAACGGAAGAAAUCUUGAAGACCUUCUCCGCCAACGGAUCUAUUCAAGACGUCUCCUAUAAAUAGCGCUCGAGGAUCACUUCAAUCUUCACCGAUUCAACAACAUAAGCUGAAACGCUGCCAAAAUCCUUACUCAGCCCAGAGCCUAAACUCUCCAAAGUUUGAAUCGAAGAAGAGAAUCCCAAAGCUAAAAAUCAGUCACUACUGAUUACAUAUAUUCUCUUAGACCUUAGGCAAACCUUGUUUAUCCAAAGCUUAGGUCAAACUAACUCCAAAGAACUUGUUCUUUGAAGUUUAUUUGGCAAGUUUGUAAACCUCUCUUCAACCGACCGAAUUGAGUGUUUGUGUGAAAAAGGAGUUCAGAAAGGUACUCUGUCUCCGUGAGGUCCUAGUGCCCAGUGCGUGCUAGGAGUGAGAAAUCCAACAAGGUGUGUUGGUACUGAAGAUUGGAUCUUCAGUUGUUUCGGUUGUGUGCACUCGCAAGCACACGUUCAGGUUUGAUGUGCACCCGUAUGCACGAGCAUCGGUUCGCAGUGCACCCGUAAGCACUUGCCAGCGAAGUUGUUGGUCUGAUCAACCGACCGUGGAUGUAGAAAGUGUUUUCCGAACCACGUAAAAAUCUCUGUGUUAUUUACAGCUUUCAGUAUUUACUUUCUUACUUGUGUUCUUCCCUUCGUAAACUGAAAACUGAUUAAUAACAAAGAGAAACCCAAAGACUGACAACGUGUUUAACUCUCAGGCUAUUUCGAAACAAAAGUUUUCCGCUACGUGUGUUAUCAGUCUAACUGAUCUAUCUUCUGAUAGUCAGUAAGAUUUAUAACAUCUCUUUUUUAUCAAACUCGACUGAAGCCUUACGUGCAUCAGUUAAGGUCUUUUGACUUAACUGAUAACUCUUUACUGAAGAGUAUUCAGUAUCAGUCGUCAACCCUGUUUUGGUCAAAACUCUUUUCAGUAAAACAGGUUGUGUGAGUUUGUGUUUUGAAGUUUCGUUUUGAUCUCUUGUAAAAAUAAAAAAUAGCCUAUAGGUGUAUUCCCCCCCAUACACCUAUUUGAGGCCCUCCGGACCUAACAGUUGGCUAACUGACCAAACAAAUGAAGAACCUUCAGCAACAAUAAGCAACGCACACCAGGUGUUCGAUAAAACUUCAAGCUGAGAACCUGCACAUAAAACAAACAAAGAAUAAGAAUCAUUGUGUCGUGGUGAAAAUCACUGCCCUAAAAAUGAGAUUCGGCCGGCAACGAGGUCCACGCCCUACGCGCCGAUUCGUUGCCGAAGGUUAACGCAAGUUCCACCCGAAGCACGCACUUCGUGCUUAAGAUGGAUUGGAGAAACAGAGAACCAAUGCCAAAAGAAAAAGAAAGAUGCAGUUACAAUCUCUUUUUCUGAGAGGAGAAGAUGAACACUGCACUUCUCCCUCAACUCACCGGAAAUCAACUUUUAAAAAGAUAAAGAAGAAGACGUGUUUCAGUGACAUUGAGGAAAAAUCUCAACUGUCGAAGACCUAUUCAGCUAGGGUAAAAAGAGCAUAACUAGGGACUAGGCCAAGAAACCAAGUCCAAUGGGCCACACAUACUUAACCAAAGACCAUUAAGCAAUAACAGCCCAAACUAGAGAAAUAGCCACAAAAGCGUGACCAUUUCCAACACUUACGUUAUAGAUUCUAAAAAGCUCAACUCCAGUUCAAGUUUACAAGUUGCGUUCUUUUUUCGUAGAAAAGGUGAAAAGUAGUACAUAUUUUCAUAUAUUUUCUAUGAGUCAGGGGAUUUUUUAUGACAGUAACUUAGAUUGAUUUGGAAAUUAGGACAAUAACUUUCGGACUUGUAAAAAUAGGACACUAAUUUUUUUUAUAUUAAAAUAGGACACUAAUUAAUAAGCAUCGUAAAAAUGGGACAUUUCUCGGUCGAUAAUUGGCCGAAAAAUAUCCUGCGGAUGCAACACUUAUUAAUUAGUGUCCUAUUUUACUCUAAAAAAACUUAGUGUCCUAUUUUUACAAGUCCAAAAGUUAUUGUCCUAAUUUCCAAAUCAAUCUAAAUUACUGUCCUAAAAAACCCUCGAACUCUAUUUUCUAUGGUAGAUAAUUUUUUCUGAAUAGUAUGAAAAAAAAAAUAGAUAGAUCUUUUUUUUUCAUUCUAAUUCAUGAUAACAUUAUCAUAGAGUAUAUGCUAACUUUGUUUUUCUUUUUUAAGGAAGACAGAUCAAGAACAUGGAAGUAAUAUAAUUCUAUUAAUCGCAUAAAAAUGUCGUGUUCAUGAGCGGAUCUUCAUAGGGGGCUGCAUUUGGCUCUAGCCCAGUGCAAGCAUCCAAAUUUUGUCAUAUAUAUAUUAAAUAUAUUUGCCUAAUAUCUACAUAGUUCAGCUCUUAGCCCAGUCCAGUUUUCAGAGAAAAAUAAAAAAUCUUUCAACAUAAUAAUAAAAAAUACUCCCUCCGUUCGCCAAAAGUGGACCACUUUGGCUAGACACGGGAUUUAAUAAAAUUGGUGAUAAUUUUGAUGUAGUGGAGAAAGGGUCCCACCACUUUAUGAGAUGUGUGGUUGAGAUUGAAUUUGUGGUAGUUUUUUUUUUAUAAAUAAAGAGUGUUUGUAAGGAUAAAAGAUUAAAGUGGAUGGUAGGACCAUUUCUAUAAAAAGAAAGUGGUAUACUCUUUGCGGACGUCCGAUAUAGUAAAAGUGGUCCACUUUUGGCGGACGGAAGGAGUAGUUUAUUUUUGUAGAAGAUAGAUUAUUUUUUUAGAAAACAUAUAGAGGUAGUUUUUUUAUAUGCUUUCAGUGUAUAUAUUAUUAAUUAUUUAUUAUAAUCAGUGUCCGAAUUUUAAUCCUAUGUCCAUUAAAAAUCUACUUGAAACAUAAAAAUGAACUGUACAGACUAUCCGAAAAUUUUGGCUCGGGGCCUACUGCCCCCGAACCCCCGUGUGAUAUCUUCAACAAGUUCAGCCCCCUUAUUGGCAAAUCCUAGAUCCGUCCCUGGUCAUGUUAGAAUAUUAUUUAAUUGUCCACUCUUGAGCAGGUGAUUUUUUUGCAAAAGUACUUCAUUAAUUAGAAUCACGUUCUCUUUAAUUGUAAAUUUAUCGUGAGAAGAGAAAAGAUAAGAAAAGAUGAAAAAAGAAUUAUUACAUCACUUUUUUUUAUCUCAUGUUUGCUAGAAAGAAAAAUAUGAGAAAAUAUUAUCACACUAUUAUCCCCAUUCAUAAUAGUAUUAUCAUGAAUUUGCCAUUCAUAAUAGUAUUAUCAUAAAUUUGAGUGAAAAUGAGAUAAAAUGAGUUGUUCAAUUUUUUUUAUGUUGAUAAAAAAAACUAUUCAUCGUACAAAACAUAUAAAAAGAGUGAAAAAAUGGUAAAAAAUUAUUCCACAUCUUUCCAUUAAAGAAAACGCACCCAUUAUGUCUUAAUCUUUAUGCUUUAAACUAAAACGUGAGAUUUCAAUAUUAAAAUGUUUCAUAACGAAAACGAGUCCCAUUAACGCUUGUCUAUAAAUGGAAAGAAUUAAUUAUAGUACGUAAUGAUUUUUCCCAAAUUAAAUAGCAUGGUGAUUCAUCGCCACAACUAUGAAUGGAUUCUGAUGCGUCUAGAAAUUGCUUGCUACAAGAUAUAAAGCAGUAAUAUAUGCUGAUAUAAAGCUCUUGUCUCCACGAUAGUGUUUAAAAUCUCUUUUUCAUUAUGAAAAUAUUGUGAUGAGUAAUUUGAUAUUUAGUUAGGAAAAAAAAAAAGAAUAUUUAAUCUUUCAGGAAUCUUCAUGCCACAAUUUUAUUAGGCAUAUGUCAUGUAUAUGGUGAUCACAUGAGUGGCAUAUUAUUAACUUGAUAAAGAUCAUGUAUAAGCUAUUCCAUAUGGUGAUCACAAAAUUGAAAUAUUGUUGAAAUCAUGUUAUUCCAUAUCAACUUGAUAAAGAUCAUGUAUAAGCUAGUUAACCCAAUAAAAUUUAAUUUAAAGGAACAAUGAGUCGAAUUUUAAUGUAGUGUCAGAGUAAAUAAUACUUCCUAGCUUUGUACCAUUACAAAUGUCCAUUACUUUUAAACAUAAAGAUUAAGAAAUUACAAAUGUCCAUUAUUUUUGAACAUAAAGAUUAAGAAAUAUGUAGAAAAUAAAUAAAAUAGGUUGAUGAAAAUUAUUUAAAUAUUAAGUAUAGAGAGAGAAUUAUUACCAAAAAAAAGAAUGAGACAUUUGUAAUGGGACAUCUCAUUAUAAAAAAUGAGACAUUUGUAAUGGGACGGGGGGAGUAUAUCAUAUAUUAUUGGGGAAAGGAUUAACUAGCUUAUAGACCUAAUGGUUAAAAUAGGACCGUAACUUUAAGGAAUUUCAUAAAAAGGACUACAUGUUACGAAAUUUUAAAAUGAUGACUAUAACUUUUUUCUUUAACAUAUACACUCCUGUUUCGGGUCCAAAAUCAAUUAUUUGGGUUUUUGGUGCCAACUAGAGCUCGUUGUUGAUGUGGUCAUGCCAUCUAGAUGCUUCAUGACAGUUGACAUAAAGUAUGGGUAUCAAGUGAAAAUUGGAGAUCAGAAUUGCUGAUUCUUUUUCUCUUCUAAGCUAAAUUGUGCUUAAAAAAUGAUAAUACAAAAAAGAAAGAAAAAAAAAUUGCCAAAAAGUUGACAUGGCAAGGCCACAUCAGCAACGGGCUCUAGGUGGCAUCAAAAACUCGAAUAAUUGAUUUUGGGCCCGAAACAGAAGUGUAAAUGUUAAGAAAAAAAGGUUAUAGUCCUCAUUUUUCAAAUUCCAUAACAUAUAGUCCUUUUUUAUGAAAUUCCUGAAAGUUACGAUCCUAUUUUUACAAGAAUAUUUCAGCUUUGUAUUUCACUUUUUUAUAUAUAUAGGGAGAGGUUCAAAUAAGAAAUAUUAAAUAAAAUAAGAACGAAGAAUUAUUUUCAACCCUUUUAUUAUUAAAAUUUAUAGUGAAUGCAUAAUUUUUUGAUGGAUGAAUGCAACACCUGAGUUCAAAUUUUGAAAGGAGCGAAUUUUUUUUCUUCGAAUGCAUAGAACUUUCUUCGAGCAUAUGACUUUACAUUCAAAUUGGUGAAGGUGGUUUAAUUGAGCUAAAAACAUGAUAUGAAUUGUAAAAACUUGGUAGAGAAAUAAAAGAAUUUCUUGUUUUGUAGUAUUCUUUUUGAAUAAAUGAAUUGAAUGUUCCUUUAAAUUUGAAUAUUUACUUCUAUUUAUCUAUCUGCUAUAAUCUAGACUUAAUAUUGAGAUCUAUUGGCUAAGGCUUAUUAAGUUCAAAAGAUAGAAUAAAUACAAUUUCAUCUACACGUGUUCUGAUUUUUAAAUCUGAAAAUGAUGCUCAAAUCUGAUCAGCUUAACAUUCGAGUCAUGAUCGAUGUCUUUGUAUCUUCUUUGACCUUUUUCUCUUUAGGUUUGACAUCUUUCUUCUAAUUUGACCUUUGGUUUUUGUCACAACUCUGGCGAAUUGUAUUACUCAACUCUGCUGAAUCGAGAUCUGUGAUUGCUCAUAUUUGAUAAGCAUGCUUCAUUUCUCCUAUUUUAUUAUAAAUUAUUGGUUUCUUACCAUAUGUAUCCAAGUCCUAUGGAUUAUUGAAUUGGUACAGAGGGAAUAUUAUUUAGGGUUAAGUAUCAAUUUCACUCCUAACGUGGAGGCCCUUAUUACGUUUAGCACCCUAUGGGCAGGGGUGUGUCAACUAAGCCCCCGAAGUACCUAUUUUUCUCCAAUUAAGCCCUCUGACUUAACGGAGAGUUAACACCGUUAACUAUUUUUAUUUUUUUUAUUUUGUUGGUGGUGGGACCCACAUUCUUCUUCUUCACCAAACUAGCCGAAAACCUAAUCCACCCCUUCAUUUGUACUCGUGGCUGACAACAAAGUCGAGCGACUCAUUGUCAACAGCCACCGAUCGGUGCCGCAUCGUUUCAGUAGUCACCAUCACUGCUGAAUCGCCGUCGUCUGAGUCUAAUAUGCGCGUCGCUCAUCGUCUACAGCCACCGAUCGUCGUCUCAUUUUGUUUGUUUGAUUCAAGGUCAAUUUCAUAUCUCCCUCACUUCCUAAAGCACUAAAUGCCAGCCAUUUACUUAUAUCUCCAAAGCAACAUCAAUCCCUCAACAUCAGCGGCUACUGCAAACUUUUGAAAAGUAAGAAAAAAUUUGGAAUUUCUUUCAUUUACAGAGAACGCAGCACCAUUCCAGCCGAAAAAUCUGAUAAACCAUAGCCAUUACAUAUCCAUCUAGCAAUGAAAGCAUCCCUACAUAAGAGCAUCGCGAAUUUGAGCGCCACCAUUCGACAGGAGCUGCGGCAGCAGCACACACGGUGACUUCUUUCCUUAUCUUGUCUUGUUUCGUGUUUUGUCUCUUGUCUUGUUUCGUUUAUGUCUUUGUCUUUCUCUUUCCAUUGUGUGUCUUGUUGCUCUUUUGCUUAUGCUUUGUUUUGUUUGCUUAAGGGCAAGCAAAAUCUAAGUGUGAGGGGGGCGUCUUGGAGUCAUGUUUUAUGUUGAGUCCGUUUGUUAUGUCGUUUUUGUAUGUUUUGAGCUUUGUGUUGUUGAAAUAUUAGUGAUAAGCAUGCUGCCCGGUUGAAUUGUGUGAUGAACUUGAGAUUUGAUACUUGAGAAUUGGGAUUUUGAGAUUGAGAAAUUUGUGUUUUUAUUGGAUGAAAUUUGGGAUGACAAAUAAGAGCAACAAGUGAGUAAAAAAACCACAUAUAAGUGAGAAUUGAGCUUAUUAGAGUUGAGCACUCUCUACUAUUUUUCUUUUUGAGUGGUUUGUUGUUCAUGAAGUUGUGAUAUGUUGUGAGUCAUUGGUGAUGCAUGAUAGAAGGCACUAGGGUAGCCUUUUGGCCUGCUUUUGAAUUCCUACCGAACAUUAACCCCUAGUGAGCCGUGUUUGAAGCCUUGACCAUGUUCUUUCUUAUUAGUCACUAAAUAAUUAAGCCAAGGCCUGUUUUGGACUUUCUCUUUGGCCCAGUGAUGCAUGUCUAAUUCUGAACUUCAUUCCAUUAAUUACUAGAGAAAGUUAAGCUGUGUUCUUAUGUGCCGUUUGCCCAAACUGCUGUCUUGUGUAAAAUGAUAAGAAUCUGUGAUCCGUUUGGCCAAACAGUGGCAUUGAUCAGUUCAGUUUUCUGGGAUGGGAGCAGUUUUGGGAGACGAUUUAUGGGGAUCUUUUGUAGAUGAUGAUUGCAUGUUGAUUGAGGAUAUAAAAAAGGAAAGGUAGUUAGCAAAAAAAAAAAAAAAAAAAAAUAAGAACAAAGGGAAAGAAGAAAAAAAAAUACAAAAAAAAGAAGAAAAGAAAAGAAAAGAAAAAAAGAUAUUGCACCAGUUUGAUUUGAGCAUGUAGUAUCAUUGUUAUUGUUGGAGUUUUUCCCCAAGUUUAGUUGCUUUUUUCUUUCUCUAUAAACUUGAAAUUGUGGAUGAUGGUUUGGAUUGGAUGUGCACACUUUGAGUUUCAAUGCUUGAGCUUAGGACCCCUAGGAUCUUGCCAACAUCAUGAAUGGUCCUUAGCCCCAAUACAACCAAUGAGAAAAGACCUCCUUGAGUUACUAUGUGACCAUGACAUAUCACGACCGAUUGGAUCUUCCUUCUUGAGUGUGAAUUUCCAAAUACAUCUUUGAGAGAAGAGUGAAUGUGGAGAGGAAUUUGUUGUUGCUUGAUUUGGACUGGAUAGACAAUGAAAACACUUGUUUGAUAUUUCCUCUUCUUGAUUGGAGAGUUGAGAAUCGAUUUGUGAAGUUGCAUGGUUCGAUUUGGCAGUAUGUUACAUUACUAGUGUUUUGAUGAUUACUUGGCUGUUGUUUUUAGUUAAGUUUGUCGUUGUUUAGUGUCCUUGUUCUUUUAUGUUUUCUUUCCGUUAGUUGUUGUGUCCGUUGUUUCGUUCUUUGCUUUUAGAGUCUUUAGUGUCGUGUCGAGGAAGGAGGUUGUCACGAGUAGCUUAUUUCACCAUUAAAUUCUUCUUUCAUGUCAUACUUGAGGACAAGUAUGAUCUAAGUGUGAGGGGGAUUUGAUGUGUGAUUUUUAGCUACUUAGUUUGGUGUGUGUUUCGUCAUUAUUUUAUAUGAUUUUACAUGGUUUGUUACAUUUUGGCGCAGGAAUUUGAUGGAAUGGAGAUGGAUGCUAGUAGAUAUCAAGAAAUAAUGAAAGUCGAGAAAUUUGAUGAAGAAGUUGAUGAUUUUUGGAGGAGUUUAGAGAUUUGGCUUUGGAGCUAAUUAUUUUAUAAUUAAUUAAGCCAAAUAUUCUUAUGUUAAUUUUUAAUCUUUUGGAGCCUUUUUUUUGUAAGGGCCGAAGCCCAUUUUAUUGGGAGAGGCACGACUACUUAGGGAAUCCUAAUUCCCGUAGUUUUUGCUAGAUAUAUAUAUUAGUUGUUAGGUUAGGAAGCGGGGAGUUUUUUGAUUAGUAAAUUAGCACUAGGUUUAUUUGCUUUUAAUUGAUUCAGCCGCAAGUUUAAAUUGAUUAGGAGUAGGGGUUGACUUUUAAAAACAAAAAGACAAUUUGAUUAGUUUGAGAAUUAUUGCUUUCGUUUCCUUAAGUUCAGUUUUAGGAUUUUAGUUUGAUUAUUCUUUGUUUUGUGAAUUGAGAGCGGCGGCUGGAUCUUCAACUUUGUGGCAGUAGACGAUUUCCUUUUAAUUCCAAUUGUGGUGACUUCUUUUAUUUUCUUGCAAUUUAUUUUAUCGUUCUAUGUUCAUCUUUAUUUAUUUUAUUGUGUUUAGUUUGAUUAUGAGUAGCUAAGCUUUUUAAUUCGGCGAGAAUAAUGAAACACUAAUUUAUUAAUCUGUGAGACCUAAUUUGUUUUAAAAUUGGUUCCUAUUGAUUUUGAUUAAUUCCUAGGGUUUAAAGAUAAUUCCGAUUUUAUUUAAGCCUGAUCAACUUAGGUUUAAUUGGAUUACAGUCAAUUAGCACCUCCAAUCCGUAAUUGUUGGAAUAGGACUGAUUAGUGAUAAAGCUACCAUGUUCGUAGGGGGAAUUAAUUGGUAUAUUAAUUAUUACUAGCGUAUCUAGGAUAAUUGAUAUAAACUGGGUUCCUUCAUCGUAAUGCUAUUAGAAUAUUAAAUCUAGGUCUGGCGUCUCCAGCUAGGUUAUAUUUUAAUAAGGGAAAUAAGCAGGUCUGGCGUCUCCAGCUGUUUAUCGACACAGUAAGUAGGAAUUGGGGUACGUCCGUUGCGUUUCACGGUAUCCUAUAACUGGUUGGUUGAUAGGGAUUAAUUAAUUAUUGCGUCGAUGAUCAGAGCUUUGAAUUAGUGUGGAUUUAUUUGAGCCGAAUUACCUUUCUAUUGAUAUUUUUCUAGAGUUAUUUUAAUUAAUUUAAUUUGCUUUUUAGUUGAUAAUUAUUUUCUCAAAUUAAGGCGUGGUGGCAUCACCAAAAUUAUAGAUUUUAGGGAAUUGAAUGAUUUACCUGCUCUCUGUGGGAUCGACCCUGCUUGUCAUUAUACUAAUUAGUUUUUGAUAAUUCUGCAGGAAUUAUUUUGGUGGUUGGCGACGUCCACCAUCUAUAUACCUCAUUAGCUGCAAUAUAUAAAUAUAAAUAUAUUAAUUAAAAAAAAUUUUGAUUUGUGCUCAUGUUGUGUGAUAUGUGGUGAUUAUAACAUAGAAUAAUAUAUAACUUAAAAGCUUGUGCGCUCAUGCUAUAGAAAAUACCUGAAGAUGAGCUUGUUUUGCGCAAUGUAACUUCCAUGUUCAUAGUUAGUGUAUAUAAAUUUUAAAAUCCUGCAAAAAAAUAUUUAUUCUGUAACACAAAAAUAAUAAAUAAUAAUAAACAAAUAAAAAGGAAUGUUAAUAAUAAUUAUAAGUAACUCUAAUGAAAUAAAUAUAAACAUAUUGAUAUGGCAGCAAAACAAUUACUAUAUCAUUAUAUUUUAUCAAAGCCUAACUUUCACAAUUAAAUAAAGGUCAUUCUACAAACCCAAAAAUUUGCAUAACUUAUAAAUCAGCCUAUAUGACCAAAACAAAAAUUUGAGGACAUAAUUGAACAUUCAGAACCUUUGGAUACAUGUGUCCUGCAAAUAUGGUAUAAUCAAGUUUAUUUUUUUGGGUUUCUAUCAUGAAAAUGAAAUAUUUUCUACUUCUCGUCAAAUGUAAUAACAAAUUAGCAAUCUAUACUAAAAAUGUAUAUUAAAAUCAACAAAUAUUUUAAAAAUUAAAAAUGCAUAUUGCUAUUUCCAAAAACACCAAAGACAAUUAAAAUUAUGAAAUUUAUGAGAGGUGAAAUUAAUAUACUACAUGAGAUCAAUUUUCUUCUACUAAUAGAAAUUCUUGGUAUGAAUCUCAUUUUUUUAUUCCUCAUCAAAGCCUAAAUCCACCCCACCACCAUAUACAAUAAUAGGUACACCAAAUUUCAUAAAUAUAUAAUGCUUGAUCAUUUUAAUGUGUCAUAUAUGUAAGUGCUGAUAAAAAUGAAAUGAUAUGCAACUGCGAUUACAAAACUCAAUCAUAUAUAUGUGUGCAGUAUGAAAUAAACAAUAUAUAUGCCUCUUGUAAUAUACUCCCUCCGUCCCAGCUUUUUGUAUCCAUUUUUAGUUGUAAAUACAACUAAAAGUGGAUACAAAAAGCUGGGACGGAGGGAGUAUAUGCCAGUGCUAAGAAAUUAGAAAACUCCAAACAUGAUGAUAAGAGGUCUCUUAGGAGCUCGAAGGGGUUAAUCAAAUUAAAUAAUAUUGUAGCAUUUGUUAUAUUUGUGAAUGAUGUUUCCCAAAUAUAUAUUGAUAAACUAUACAUCAAGAAUAUGAUGAUUACAGAAAAAGGGAUAGUGAUGAAUUAUACACUAAACAAAAAAAUAUAUAUAUACCAUUGAAAUCAACAUCCAAAAUUCUAGUAUAGUUUACUUCACAGUGUAUUAAUUACAAUCAUCUUUUUGCAUGCUUUCAUUAUAUCUUAGUUUAUUAUUGGGAUUGAUAAUCUUAGAUAUUGAGCAAUGAGAAAUACAAACCAUCAAAUACCAGAAAAUCGCAAACUAUUUUGUAGCAUAUUCAUACUGAAAACAAAACAUAAUCUCCUGAAAGUUUAAUAUAAUAUCAUAGUCGUACCCAUGUGCGGAGCAAAUUAUGAAAUUCCAGUCGACGGCGGCGACCUGCGGAGCAAAUUGGCAAACAAAAUAUUGCUUCUUUAAUCCAUAAUAAUGUCAAUCUUAUUUGCAUAUAUCCUUCCAUGACCAAAACAUGGAUAUAAUUAAUUACCUUGACAGAUCACCUUCAAGCUUCUCUGCCCGACUAAUUAAGCAUUCGACGAUUUUUGAGAAAUCGAACGGAAUGGUUCUCUUCGAACUGUUUAACUUGUCGGGUGACCUGGACAUAUUAUAACCAUAAAAUUAUUCAAAGGGUGACCUGGACAUAUUAUAACCAGAAAGGUAUUCAAAGCGAAUGAAACUGAUAAAUGUGAGAACUCUUGUGGUGAAUCUAUAAAGUAAACGAAGCGAUGAAUAGCUCCUGCAAGACACGGCUCAAUCAAACAUAAAAAUCACAGCCAAAUUAGAGUAUUUCUAUACCAUGAUAAAGAGGCAAAAAAGAGAUGCACAAAUAAGUUCAUAUACCAAUCUAGACAUUAUCAAUCUUAAAUCUGUAGAUAAGCACAGUUUCAAUUAUUAAUCGGGCAUCCCAAUAAUCGCAGGCAGCGGAGGAUGGAUGGCAGAUACUACUCGACACACUCACAGACUCAAUUAUCGCCGGGAACGGAGGAUGGAGGGAUGACUGGUUGUUGUAUACGGCCAGAGAUUUGGGAGAACGAAUAUCUGCUGAGAUUCUCUUGUGGGUGGGUUGAUUUUCUUCAUGCUUAAUAUUUCAUCGAAUUUUAGAGGUCUAUGAAUGUGUGCAUUUAUUUAUCUGUAAUGAAUUUCGUACUUACCUGCAUAUCUAAGCAUUGAUUUCUUUAUCUUUAUAAUUUAAGAUUAGCAUGAAUACGUGUGAAUUGUAAUUUAGGUUAAAACAUAAGCCAAACCCUAAGUUAAUUAUUAGUUUUUAAGUGCAUAUAUAGAACACUAAAAUAAAUAAAUACGUAAAUACACUGAUAAAAUAAAAUAAUUGGUAAUUUAAAAAUUAUUCACAUUGGUUUCGAAUCCAUUGUGUUAAAUUUAAUAGAUUACGCCAAUUUAAAAAUUAUUAUAAUUAGUAGUUUUAAUUAUAUGUAGAUAUAGAGGUGUAAAAGACUCUUUUUCUAUUAUAGUAUAGAUAAUUUAUUGGAUGGAUAUAUUUAUUUAUAAGUCUUAUCAGUAGCUAUAGAUAUAAAGUAUUCAUUAUAGAUUUGGGUGAUAAAUAAAUGUAUAUCAAAAUAGAUUUAUAUUUUAUAAAUAUAAUAGUAAUAAAUAUAUAACAUGGGUAAAAUAGGCAAUACACAAGUUGUCCCCUAAACUGCCUUUCGCUCUUUUUCUAUUAGUAUAGAUAAUAAAUAAUAAACAAGGGAAAGUGUUUGCACGAGGGUUCGGCUCUAGUUCAGUCAUAUUUUUUUUUUUACAAAUCAAUUAUUCAACGAAAACUUGAUGGCAUGGCUCCACUUAUAGAAAAAUUCUUCAAAGCUUCAAUUAGCUUGUUGGGCUUAUCUGGAUACUGAGUAGAGAUGGGCCUUGAUGAUUCAAGCCCAUUAAAAUUUCUAUGUAUUGAUCCACCACAAUGAGAUUCUUUUCAGGCCGCAUAUUUUCAAGCAAUAAUAUUAGUUAAAAAAUGUUAAUCUGGUUGGUCCAAAUAGAACGGCUCCUAAGUAUUCGAAGGCAGUAGGUUUCCAUUAUGGACUGAGAAGAUGUCAGUUCGAGAUGCGCCUCAAGGCUCUUGGUUGCUACUUCACAAGUUAAUGUCGUUAAGACUCAUUCACUGCAUGAAUGUGAGAGAUCCCAAUGUUGGGGCACUUGCCCAAUCUCAAGUCCCUUGAGUUGAGAUGGUUGAGGAAUUUGAAGUGUAUAAAUUCAUCAUUCUACGGAAUGGUGAACAAGGACACACGCAUUGUUUUUCCAGCUCUCGAGAGCUUCGAAUUGAAAUACAUGGAUAAUCUGGUAGAGUGGGCAGAAAUAGAAAUUUGGGAUGGAAGUGAAGUGAAGCUAUUUCCUCGCCUCAAACAUUUGGGAAUUUAUUAUUGCAAGCAAUUGAAGAGUGUUCCAAGUCAUGUCUCGUCCUGCCUUGAAAAAUUGUGGAUUCAGGAUAUCGGUGUGGAAUGUCUGCCAGCUGAUUGGUUAUUGAGUAACAGCGAGACUCUCUCAUGGUUGCAUAUAAAGGACUGCCGGAAUUUGAGAGAAAUAUCAGAUAGGUGGGGAGAAGAAGAAUCAGAAGGAAGAAGCUUCACAAUCACAUCCCUCCCUAAAUUCCCUCGUCUAAAAGAUUUGGAUAUUGAAAGCGUUCCUAAGUUAAGUUUGGAGACUGUGGAUGCAAUGCGGCGCCUCCAAAUUGAUGANCAUUCUACGGAAUGGUGAACAAGGACACACGCACUGUUUUCCCAGCUCUCGAGACCUUCCAAUUGAAAUACAUGCCUAUGCUGGCAGAGUGGGCAGAAAUAGAAAUUUCGGAUGGAAGUGAAGUGAAGCUAUUUCCUCGCCUCCAACAUUUGGAAAUUUACAGGUGUGAGCAAUUGAUGAGUGUUCCAAGUAAUGUCUCGUCAUCAUGCCUUCAACAUUUGUCAAUUAGGGAGAUCGGUGUGGAAUGUCUGCCAGCUGAUUGGCUAUUGAGUAACAGCGAGACUCUCUCUGAUUUGAGAAUAGAGAAGUGCCCGAAUUUGAGAGAAAUAUCAGAUAGGUGGGGAGAAGAAGAAUCAGAAGGAAGAAGCUUCACAAUCACAUCCCUCCCUAUAUUCCCUCGUCUAACAUUUUUGAGAAUCAAAGGCGUUCCUAAGUUAAGUUUGGAGACUGUGGAUGCAAUGCGGCGCCUCGAAGUUAAUGGAUACAAACGCAUUGAGCCGUGACGGUGAGUAUCAAUAUCUUUUGCUAGAAACAGUUGUAUGUGUAUUUUAUUUGAAAAAAAAAAUUAUCAUUUAAUUUCACUUUUAUUAAUUAAUACUAAUAGGUUAAAAAUUCAAAAUUAUGGUAUAUAAUUUUAUAAAAAAAAAUAAUUUUUUGAAAUAAAUAUUAACAAUAAUUCAUAGUAUUAUAAUUUAUUUUAUAAAAAAUAUUAUUAAAAUAAUAGAUAUAAGAAUGGGACAUAAUGGCAUACAUAAAAUUGUGGGACAAUGGAUCUCAUUUCUUAGUUUGGUGCUUAAACAAUAGGAGAUUAAUUAUUUUGAGUUUCUUUAUAUUUUUACAGUGACUUAUCAUCUUAGCUUUUUUUUCCCCCAUUAAUUAAUUCUUUUUUGUAUUGAUACAGAAUAAAGUGAAAGAAGCAAACAAUUGUGUUUGACUUUGAGGUGCCUCUAAAGAAUUAGGAAGUGAAGUAAGCGAUCUAGUGAAGAAGGAAUAAGUGAGUAUCCAUUUUCUCCAUCAUGACUUGCUCAACCUCUUUUCAUAUAUAUUUUUUUUGUGAUUCCAUAUAUAUUCUUUGUUUGAACUUAGUUAAUAGGAUUAUUAUGUCUAGGGUUGAAGAAAAUGCAUGUUUGGAUAACAAUUUGUUUAACAAUUGAUAUGAUUCUCAAAGACUCAAAUUAACUUUAUUAAUCAUUGUGUCUAAACUAAGGAUUCACAUCAUUAUUUAUGCCCAUAGACACAAAAGUGGUAUUACUUAAUGCUAAAAUGUGAAAUUCACAACCGAGCUUAUGUAAGGAGAUCAAAUCAUUUAGCUCCCUUGCCAUUUCCUAUUUUAUGUUAAUUUUAAUUUACCUAGUUAUAAAAAGUUGUAGUGUUUACCAGCUCUAAGGUUGCAAUUGCGAAUUAGGAAACACAAAACAAAACAAAACAAAACAAAUACCAAACAUCUUCCAUAUUCCAUUUUGAACAUUACUUUUUAUAAGGCUCGUUUGUUUGAUAGUAUGGAUACAAAUGUCAAGCUCUUAUUGAGCCAUUUUGAGCUUUGUGAUAGAUUUUCUAAUAGAAUCAAAUAAAUUCCCAGAUGACAUGAGGAUAUAUGAGAUCCAUUAAUAUAAUUUCUGUAGAACUAAAUGUCAAUCUCUCAGGCAUGUGUCUAUUGUUAUGUUUUUAUGAUUUUUUCUUCAAAAAGCUAUUAAUUUUAUUUCAUUAUAUCCAACACUCCAGAGUCCAGCCGUAUUGCAGUUUGUUUAUUGUUAGUUACAUCCCAUCAAACUUGAACUAUCUGUUAUUGUUUUAAUUCCAAACAUUACUGCCCUUGAUUGCAGCAUGAUUCUAAAGCCAUGGCAGAGAUAGAGGAGCUUCUGAGGAGCAUGGAGGCGAGGCGGCCUCAACUAGUGGCGCUAACGAGCUUGCUCGUGAGGAAGAACGACUACAGCGUAGUUGUUGAGUCUGAAGAGAAGGACGAUGACAAAAAUUCAGACAUGGUUAAGUAAUUACACUCAAUACAUAUACAUAAUAAUAUUAAUGUCAUUAUGCAAUCAUGUUUAAAUAAUUAAUUAAACCCAAUUAAAUUGUAUAAUUAAUUAAUUUAAACAACUUAAUUAAUAAAUAAGUAAACUCAUAGCCUAAUCAACAAAAGGCCCUCUUCAUUACAAAAAACACGCAGCCCACAAAAUUAAAUAGUCCACUUCAUUUAUAAGAGCCCAAAAUAAAAUUUAAUAGACGAGGCCCAACACCAAAGUGAAACUUUGAAAACUCAUAAAAGAUAGUAUCAAAUAACUAAAACAUCUCUCAAGCCGCCACCUGCUCCGACAGCAACAUGAGCAUCAGGCUGCGGCCGCCGCCGGUCCUCCCUCCUCCGCUCUCCCACGUUUUCUCUGCCGCUACUUUCUCCUCCCCCAAGACUCGAGAUGAGAUCCAGUGUCCCACAAUUUCAUGUGUACCACUAUGUCCCACUCAUAUAUCUAUUAUUUUUAAAAUAAUUUUAUAUAAUUAAAAUUUAUUAUAAUAUUAUGAAUUAUACUUAAUUUUUAUUUGAAAAAAAUUAUAUUUUUAAAAAAGUAUAUACAAUGACUUUUAAUUUAUCAACCUAUUAUUAGCUAAUAAAAGUGAAAUUAAAUGAUAAAAAAUAAAUAUGUACCCUAAUUUGAUGGAAUAAAUAUUUAUGCAUCUUUUUUUAUACAUCUUCGAAAUUUAUGCACCAUAUUUUUUUACACUAUCUAGCUCACACAUAAUUUUAUUUAUAAUUUACAUCAUUUAAUCAUAAUUUACUUAACAAUAUCAUUCAUGCUCUACUUUUUUUUAAUAUCGCUUUUGGCACAGACUUUCAAGCUAUAAAUAUUUGUUGGUGAGGAUCAGUAAUUUGUGUUUAGUCUUUACAUUUUCUUAUCGCGGUAUAUGGAUUGAGACAUGCAUGAAUAUUCUUCGCACCUUUAAAGUCAAAAUGAUACCCCCUCCGUCCACGAAAUAAAACUCUCAUUUGAUGAUUGACAAGAAAACUAAGAAAACUGAUAAAGGUGUUGUGAGUGAAAUAUAAGGGUAGUUGACUAAAGUGAUAAAAGUAUUGUGGGAUUGGCCUUGGAAUGAUAAAUGGUAGUAAAUAUAAAAUACAAAAAUAAUAAAGGUGUUGUGGGUGGGCCCAUGAGUGGUAAAUAGUAGUAAAUGAGAGUUUAUUUUGUGGACGGAGGGAGUAUCAUUUUGACUUUAAAAAGUGUGAAGAAUAUUCUUGCAUGUCUGAAUCCAUAUACCGCGAUAUGAAAAUGUUAUACUCCCUUCGUCUCAUUCUAAUAGGUUCACCACACAUAAAAUUAUGGGACACUGGAUCUCAUCCCCUUCUUUUGGGCACGAAAAUUAAAAAAAAUUAAUUUUUAAUAGGAAAGUGGUGUGGUCCAUACCAAUAACAUAAAUGGAAACGAGUCUAUUCUACUGGGAUUAGUUAUCCUAACUCGUCUUAUCCUCUUCUUUGGAAUUGCCUUUACCACAUUUCUCCCCGAACAAGCAAGCUCCGUUACUACUUAUGAGUUCACAUAGUGAUCGAAUCAUUUAAUUUGUGAUCGAAUCAAGUUUCCUUUUUCUAAUCCAAUCCCUCAUGCAUGUACGAUCCAAGAGAAAUAUAAUGCAGUGCCCGUCACAAAAGGAAAAACAAAGUUACUAUUAUUCCUUUCUUUUCUUUUAAUUAUUGUUGUCGAAUUAAAGAUACAGAAUAUAUAUAAUUAAAGUGCUGCUUGUCAUCACCUUUUAUUUUGUACGAAUUGUCCUAAAGAUACAGAAGAUGACGGACAAGUAGAGUGCGACAAGGGAGGAGAUACCGAUAAUGACUUGAUUGAUUAUUCCCCUAAACACAAAAGCAUAAAGGAAUAAGUAGUGUUGAUAAAUUGGUUUGCCACCACCACCACCAACUUCAGCUUUUCCAUUUUUAGUUUUAAGAGGGAGAGAGAGACAAGAAUAAAGUAAGAGAAAAGCAUUGCAUUAUUGGUUAAUUAAAGGCUUUUAAUAUAUUAUUAUAUUCAUAUAUUAAAGGCCUUUAACAUUAAAAGAGAGGGGAUUGAAUGGAGCGAGGAAAAAAGAAGGGUGAUGCGGUGAGUGGGGACAUAACAAUAUUGUUAAUUUGUAUUGUGUUUCUCUUUACCACAUUGUUAAAAUAUUAACUAAUUACUGUAUUACAUUUACAGUUUUUUAUAUUAAUACUGCCUACCAAAUCAUUCACGAGCUAACUCGUCAACUUGCAUCAGUCAUCCAUUUCAAUACAAUAAUCGAAUCAUGACCCCAUCAAAUUCUUCAAUAAAAUGCCAGUUUUAGUUUGAUUUCCAACCACACAAGCACAUUAGAAUGGAUUCAAUACAAAAAAUCUAAAAAAAUCGAAACUUUCAAAGCAUGUCACUCACUCUUAGCUCAGAAAUAACUCUUAAAACUUGAAUUAAUUAGCAAACUAAAACUUAUUGUAGCAUCUUACUAAUCCCCAAUUUCUUAACGAAAAGUGAGGCAAAAUUAGUGGAAUCAAUGACAUACCCCAUUUCAAAGAUCCCAUUUUUAUUUCAAUUUCAUGCGCGGAAUUUAAAUCCAAAGUGAUAAUCUGCAAAGGGAGUGUGAGAAAUAUUAUAUUUACAGUUUUUUACUACCUUCGUACUUAUAAAAUAUAUUCAAUUUGUCAUUUUUGUUUGUUUUUAUAAAACUAAUUUAAUUUAUUUUUGGUAAGUUUUCCACUCAUAAUAAAAUCAGAUCUUAUGAGACUAUUACUUCAUUCACAACAUAUUUAGUUAUUUUAUUAAAAUUCAUACACAAUUGUCAUUUUGGGCGUCUGCAAAAAGUAUGUCACUUUUCUUUUUAAGACAUGGUCUCACAUCUUUUACUUAUCAUUCAUCUUUAUAAAUACCCUUUAUUUACAAAAAAAAAAAAAAAAACUCAACUCUUAUUCAAUUUCAACCACUGGUUUCAGAUAACGGUAGAACCCUUUCUCCACUACAUAAAAAUCAAUAACCGUUUCAUUAAAUCCCGUGCACAACCAAAAUGACAUACUCUUGACAAACGGAGAGAACACUUUUUAUAAGGACAGAUGGGAGGGAUUAUAUUAAUACUACCCUUUCCUUUCCUAACAAGGGUCCAAAAGGACAACUCAUCGUUCAAAGAAAACAACAGGAAAGAACAAAGCAAGAACGAAGAAACUCUUCGAAAGCUCCCCCACCAAAACGUUCAUCAGCUAACUGGUCAAAGUCAUCCAAUUCUGUUCCUUAAUCCUCUCUCUCUCACUGAAUUUCUCUGUUUCUCUCUCUAAGUUAUCAGCUACCACAAAGCAAGGAAGCAGCAGUCCUUAAAGCGCAGUAGGGAAGGUGAAGUUGAAUUUCGAUUCUGCUUGUUGAUUGUGUGCAGUGAAAUUUGAGAUUUUUUUCUUCUUCUGUUUUUUGGUGUUUCCAUUUGUACUAAUUAUCAUGUUUGCAUAUGGAAAUCAAUCAUUUUCUUCGUGUGAUAUAUUACUCUAUUCAAUUAUGUGUGUCAGUAGCAGCGUGGGGAAUAAUUCAAUACACUUUGAAACAAGUAGUGAAAGUUUAGAUUUGCUCUUAUGAGAUUUGAUACUUUGAGUUUUUCUCAUAUAUUUAUGCACAUUUUCUUUCGUGGGAAUUAUCACAUAUAGCCCUUUUUAUUAAAAACAUAUAAGUUUUAUAGUCCUAAUUUAUAAUAGAUAUAUAAGUUAUAUAAUCAUUUUAAACUUAAAAGACUACAAUAUCCUUAGACUUUUUUGUAUUUUUAUUUAACAUUUUACAUUUUAUUUAACAAUUUCUUCUCUACACAUUCUCUCUUUACACUAAAACUGCCUCUGACGGAUCGCCGCCGCCACGGCAUUGCAAUUGUUGUCGCCAUACUUGAUGGUGUACUCGAUGACACCAUCGAGUAGUCGAUGAUGUACACGAUAGUGCAAUCGAUUACAUCAUCGAGUAAAUGAAAAUACAAAAAAGUCAAAGGGUGUAAUAGUUUUUUAAAUUUAAAAUGGCUACAUAAUUUAUCUAUUAUAAAUUAUGGCUAUAAAACUUAUGUUUUUAUGAAAGAGGGCUAUAAUAAGAUUUCUCUUCUUUUUUUAGUACAUCUUCCAAAUAUAUGCACCAUAUUUUUUGACACUAUCUUACAAAUAAUUUUAAUAAUUUUAUUUGUAACUUAUACCAUUUACUCACAAUCUACUUAACAAUAUCAUUCAUGUUCGACCUUUUUUUAUAUCGCUUUUGGCACAGAUUUUCAAGCUAUAAAUAUUUGAUUGUGAGGAUCAGUAAUUUGUGUUCAGUGUUUACAUUUUCAUAUCGGUAUAUGGAUUAAAACAUGCAUGAACAUUCUUCACACCUUUAAAUUCAAAAUGAUACUUUAACCUAUAAGUAUAACACCAAUAGAAUAAACCUUGUAAACAUAAAUAUAUAACUAUUGAAGUUAUCAAUUUAGUGAGUACAAGUACAUAUCGGUUAACGAUCACUUUUUAUAUAUAAAAAUAAAGGUUAUAAGUGUUUUGUGUCUCUAAAUUUUGUUCUCUUAAAAACUUUUUAAAUAUUUAGCGUUUUUCAUAAAAUAAUUUGCUAUAUAAAAUUUGAUGACAAAAAGAUGAUUCAUCUCAUCAGAGUCUAACAUAAACUGUGUUUUUGAACUUUCUUUUUCAACUUAAACAUCAAAAUGAU
RNAcentral lists this long non-coding RNA (79214 nucleotides) under Salvia miltiorrhiza (redroot sage). RNAcentral's name for it is "long non-coding RNA (SMIL_LNC007506)". The record is from RNAcentral. Lineage: Eukaryota; Viridiplantae; Streptophyta; Magnoliopsida; Lamiales; Lamiaceae.